GUACAGUGAGAUCAGAAUGGGGUUCCACAUUGGGGCCGCACAAGGUUGCGAACGGCGACGAGCGAAUUUAGGCUAGAAACUAGACUUUCUCCGGAAAUUUCCGAACCCUUUGGGAUUUUAGAUUGCGGGUGCCGUGCGCACAGAACCUGGACAAGCUUGAUUCCGAGAACUGUGUGACGCACAUUUGAGUGUACAAACCGAGUCCGAUAAUCGAAGUUGGCCAAAGGCUGGCUGGAUUAAAAACAUGGCAUGAGUCAUCAAAUGUGGAACUGCUGUGGUGUCGGGAGGUGAUUCCCGGGGUCUUGCGAUGUGAAGAAUGUGUGCGAUUUGUGCUGUAGGCGCUGGAUAUGCUUCCUGUGAGCAGAUUUUGGAAAUCUUGUAAAAUCCUAGUGAUGUUGCAGUUUAGCCUCGGAAUCGUGCGAUUGUCGACCCCGACUUUACUCGGUUUGUGUCAUGGUCUGAAUUCUGUGCGCAACGAGGCUCUCGCUUCGUGUUGAGGAUCUGGGAAGGGACGGGCGCGCUCGGUUACGCAAAGCCAAUCUGCUACACAAACAGGCAACAAGAUGCUGCUCCCUGGUUGAAAGCAUUUAGUAAUGUGAGGUUGCACGGCGAGGCACGAUUGUGCUCCCCCAUCUCGGAAGUGCUUGUUUAACUUGAUGGGGGCGUAAGCAAUUGCAUACAAAUACAAGAACAAAUAGAUUCAAUCAAUAGAUGUAGUCUAAGAACAGGUAGAGAUACUUUCGUUUAUCCAAAAAACACAAUGGCAAGAAUGAAUGCUUAGCACUAUUAGUAGUGACAACCAUUUGUCUCCAAAGUGGACAUUACUUUUCUUGGUUCAACUUGCAACAAGAGUGUGGAAAUUUUACAAGCAACAUCAAAGUAUCCAUAACAAAAUAUGCAUUUUGCACACUUUUAGACUUAAUAGUUUAAUUUUGAUUUUAAAGUUGUUUAUUGAACCUUUACUAAAUGUUAUUAUUAUUCUAAGAAGGGGUCAUGGUCGACAACAAGCAGGUAAGUAAAAUCAUAGUUAAAGAUGGAGCAAAAAUACAAAUGUAUACUAGAUAGAACCAAAACUUAAGAUGCACGCAAAACUUAGAGUUGAUAUAUAUUUGAUGUAGUACAUGUUGAAGAUAAAAAAACAAGGAGAUUUUGAAUACUACGAUAGAAUUCUAAAAAAUAUGUCAUAGGGAAAAAAUAUAUGGUCAAUUUAUACAAAGACAAUAAACUAUUUUUUAGACUUUGUUGCCAAAAUUAUAAAAUAUUAGUUACUUGAGUCUAAUUUAAAUUAAUAUUGUUAUAUAGUUGAUUUUUACAUGGCAUAAAAUUAUAAAUAAUUAAAACCAAAAACAUAUUUUGAUAUAUUUUGGUAUCAAUAUUAUAAAGCAUUUUUGACAAAAUUAAGACAAAAAUGUUAAUCUAGCCUUUAAGUAAUAUUAGUUUUUCAAUAUUCUUUGCCAAUGUCAAAAAAAUACUUGUCUUAUUUGUAAAAAAAUUGCAUCUUUAUAGCUUUUCUAUAUUAUUUUUUUGCACCACAAUAUAACUUAAUUAUAAUAGAAUUAGAAAUAACAUACAUCUAAUUGUUUAAUUCUUCUAAAAUUUUUACCUUAAUUUUUUUAAUUUUUUGGAUGACUUAUUAAUUUAGUUUAUUCUUAAGAAAUAUUUUACCAAUGUCAUGAAAUAAUUUGAAUCUAAAUAAAAAAAACAUUAGAUUGAUCAUUGUGAGCUGUCAAUUAUACUCUAAAAUUUAAAUUUUUAUUAUUUUCCUAUUUUAUGAUAAUUAAACAUGUUAGAUUAGGAUUUAUAUAAGUGGAAUUUAGUUUUAUAGAAUUUUUAGGAUUACAACCCUUGAUGGUAUAAAUUAUAAUCUAAUUUCUUGAAUUAGGUUAAUUAGGACUAAAGUGAUAAGAGUUAGAAAAUUAGAAUAGCAACUUAGUUAGUUUAAUAAUUUAGAGGUUGUUAGUCAUUACUAUAAGCGUUGACUAAAAGCCUAUGAGUGCAUCUAUAAUCAUUCACAUGAUUUAGGAGUUGGAAUUAUAAUUCUCUAAAAGAUUUAGAGAAGUUAGCAAUGAUAAUUUUGGAUUUUCCUCCAAAUUCGACAAAUUCAAGUAGCAUGGUGGUUCUUCUACUUAAUGGGAGUCUUUUUAAUGCAAUGGUGGCAUCGGAUUUACCUCGUGGAGUGAAGAAAACAACAUCAGCCACCUCUCCUUCAAAAUACAAGAGAAGCAAUGAAAUUCUCAUUUUGAAGAAUUUCACAAAAAUUGCUAAGAUCCUUAUAAGUAAAAACUUCCAUGAAAAUUAUAAUUGAGCAUGGAUUGAGGCAUGUGAGUAGUCAAUCUUAGCUUAAAAAGGUAUUUUGAACACAAUAGUGAAGUUAGAUUUACAAAAAAAUGCUUUCUUGACCACUUACAAGAGCCAUCAGCCUUGGUAAUGAGAUUGGCUCUUGGAUGAAUGAAGGCCGUAGAUCUAGAUUAGGAAUCUUAAAAAUCAAGGGUGAAGAUGUAGCCACCCUUCUACGAGCCUCCAUUCAAUUGUAGAAGAGAGGCUUGGUUUUCCAAGCCUUCUCUCUCUCUUCUUUUGGGUGGAUCCAUGCCAAAAUUUGGCCAAAAUCCUAAUCUUAAUUUUAUUUAGAUUUUAAUUCUCAUUGUGAACCUUGUGAUCGUGUAUAUAUGGAUUAUGAAUUAUGAAGGAUGGUCAUUAAGUUUUAAAAUAUGUUUCAUUGAGGUAGAUAUCUCCUCGGCCUUUCAAAUACCCCAAGGGUUUUAAGGGCCUUGGAUUUUCUUCAAUCAGUCACUCAAUUUCUUUUUUUUCAAUUUGAGAUUCUAAAUAAUUGUAGCUUUUGUUGUUAGCUUUCCGACAAGAUAAGACUCGCUUGAUUUGGAGUAAGAAAGAAGUUUUGGUGAAUUUUUGAGUUUGAGGGAGUCGACUACCUUUGCAGUUUGAAUCAAUCGAGUUUGGAAAGGCAUUUCUUAGUGCCUGAUGAUUAGCUUUAUUUGAAAUUUUGGGAGCAUCAAUCUUUAUAAGCUAAGCUCUGAAAGGAACAAGUUUUGUUGAAUUUGAAGACAAUCUUAAUUUUUAGUCAAUUUCUAAGUGAAGAGGGUUGGUCACCACGGCAGUUUGGAUCACUCAACUUCAAAGGAGGAAUUCUCACGACUGGUUCAUUAGAUAGCAACGAGGAUUGUUGGAUCAAAAGCGUCUUCAAGUUAGCCUUGUAACAAGCUAAGAAUCAUUCAAAUUGAAGCCGAUUACAAAUUUUUGCAAAUUUUGGAGUAGAAGGGGGUCGCUGCCUUCAAUCCUUACGUGUUGUCAAGGUACCUUCACUUCCACCUCUCUUACUUUGUUUUUACUAUCAUCUUCAUAGUGACUUGUAAUCUCCACAUUUCACUUUAUGGCUAAUAAAUUUUAAGUUUAACUUUUAACCUUUAAUAUUCUCACUUUAACUUUUAACUUUUAACUUUUAAAUUGAACUUUUAAUUUUAAAUUUUCACUUAACCUUUAAUCUUAACUUUUAAAUAAUUAAUAUUUAUUUAUUUAUUUAUUUAUAUUUAACUUAACCUUUGAAUUUUAACUUUUAACUUAAAUUUUUAACUUAACUUUUAACUUAACUUUUAAUUCAAACUUAAGUUUUUAUUCUUAUGGUCAAUUAAUAGUAAUAAUUUAGUUAAUUAUUUUUACUACGUUUACAUAGUAAAUUUUAUUUAACAUGUUAAUUUAAUGUUGGUAACCAUUGCUUGGAAGGCCUAAAACUAAUUGAAUUUUUAAUAUAAAGAUUUAAAUUAAUCUAACAAUUACACAAUUGGGAGCUCUCCAAUUCCACCUCUUGGACUUGUUGUGUGGCAUAGGUUUCAUCAAGUGGUGAAAUUUGGCCUCACACUGAUAUAGAAAUAAAGAGAUUUAAUAAUUUUUUAUAUAUAUAAGUUUAAUGGCUAAUAGGUUUGAUGUUUCACAACUACAACCUGGAGUAAUUUAUUAAAAAAAUAUGAUUUAUACUUCUAUAUUUAUAUAAUAAUUCAUAACAAUAAACAACUAAAAAAAGAUAAAACAAAAUUUUAUUAAAAUAAAAUUUAUAUUAAUAAAAUAAUCUAAUAAACCUAAAUGAAAUAUAUAUAAUUUAAUAUUUAAUUUUUUUGUUUGUAAUAUUCAACUAAUUAUAUUUUUAUAUCUUCUUUAGUAUUAUAAUAAUUAUUAUAUUAUAUUUAUAGUUUUUAUAUCUUUAAUAUCAUAAUAAUAAAAUAAUUUAUAUAAUAAUAUAUUAUAUAAAAUAAUAUUUAUUUUAUUAAUUAUAGAUGUUAUCUAUAAUCUGAUAAUUUUGAUUUUAUAAGAAUAAAAAAUCCAAUAAUAAAAGAUUCGGCAAGUAGAAUAAAAGAACUUCUUAUAACAAUGAAGAUACAAUUAAAAGAGGCUCAAGAAAGAUAAAAAAAAUAAAACGAAAAUAUUUUUGAAUAAGAAUAACCUUCAUUCAAAACAAGUGAUAAGGUAUAAUUACUUUGUUGUAUUGUCAAAACUAAUCAACCUUGUAAUAAGUCAGAUCAUUAAAGGCUUAGUCUAUUUGUUAACAAAAAUAUAUUAAUUCAAUAUCAAAUCAAUUACAAUUACUACUAUCAAUAAAGAUCCAUAUUAUGUUCUAUGUUUUUUUUUUUUUUUUUUUUUUUUAUCGAGUCUUACAUGUCAAUGAACAUAUUAAAAAGAAAGUAGUCACCACUAUAUUUUAUUAAAAUAGAAAACAUCUAAGAAUUUGAAGUAGAAGUAGUCUUGGAUUCAAAUAUAAAUUAUAUUGUUGAAGGUAGCAAUUAAUGCCUUUAUAAUGAUUAAAUUACUGAAUAAUAUUAUCGUCUUGAUAUAAGACAUUAUUGAUGGCUAAAAACAAUUGUAAUAUUUCAUACAUUAGCAUGGAUAUGAUAUCAUUGAAUAUAGAUAGUAGCCAUGUAAAACUCUAAUAAAUGUAUUAAGCUUGAAUCUAAUUUUUAUUGACAGUAUCUAUUGAAACUAAAAACUAAUCAUUGAUAAUAAGAUGGUAUAAAUCAAUAAAAGAGAAGUUCAAGAAUCUACUUGUAGAAUUUCUUUGCAAAUAUGAAGAAUUAAGAAUAAAAAAUUCAUCUCAAAGAUUUUUAUAUGCAAAAUUACUAGAAACAUGUUCAAAAAUGUGUCUUUGCAUAAUAAAACAAUCUUAAUAACUCAUUACCUAGUUUGUAAAAUUGUACAUUAUUGUAUAACAUGAAUACUUACUUGAGAAUGCACUAAGCACCUACUUUUGGAAGGUAAAUAAAAAUUUAAUCUAAAAUAAAUUUAAAAUAAAUUUAAAAUUUAAAAUAAAUUUAAAAUUUAAAAUAAAUCUAAAAUAAAUUUUAAUGAAAUUAUGAAAGAAACAUAAAGAAAUUAAUUAAUCUAAAAAAAUGAUAAAAAAAUAUUAAAAAAUAAAAUAAAAAUAUUUAAAGAAAUAAUAAUAAUAUUUAUAAUAUUUUUUUAAUAGAAAUAUUUAAAUAAAUAAUAAAAAUUUCUUAAAGAAUAUUAAAAAUAAAAAUUCUAAAUAAAUCUUGAGUAAAUCUUAAAUAAAUCUUAAUCAAAUCUUGAUGUAGCUCUAAUCAAAUUCUAAUGAAACUGUAACAAUCAUAAAUAAAUUCUAUUAAAAUUCUAAACAAAUAUUAGACCAAAUCCUAAUAAGAUUUAAAUACAAUGUCAUGUAUUUUGGACUUACAAAUGCACCGAUAGCUUUUCAACAUCUAAUGAAUGAUGUUUUUCAAGAGUUUUUAGAUGACUUUGUUGUCUGUUAUCUUGACGACAUCUUAAUCAAUUUUAAGAAUACAGAUAAACAUAAACUUCAUGUUCAUCGUGUAUUACAAAAAUUAAGAGAUGCGAGACUCUAUGCUAAGAUAAAAAAGUAUAUAUUCUACACUACUCAAGUUGACUUCUUUGGAUAUAUCAUUUCAAAUGAUGCACUUAUGAUGGAUCUUAAGAAAAUUCAAACUAUUAUGGAUUGGAAGAUUUCAAAAGUGGUAAGAGAUGUCUAAUGCUUUUUGGGCUUUGCCAAUUAUUAUUGAAUUUUCAUCAAAGACUUCUCUCAAAUUGCAGCCCUACUUAUGCGUUUGAUUUGCAAAGACAAACUUAAGUGGAGUAAAGAAGCUGAAGCAUCUUUUGAAGCUUUAAAGUCAAUUUUUAUUUCUCCACCAAUCUUAUAUCACAUUGACUUUUCUAAGGCAUUUUUUAUGGAAACAUACACAUCAAACUUUACUUUGGGUGUUGUAUUAUCACAAAUGGGAACAAAUGAUAAACUUCACUUAAUAGCUUUUUAUUCCAAAAAUGUUUUAGCAAUCAAGAUUAAUUAUAAAAUCCAUAACAAAGAGCUUCUUGCAAUCGUGGAUUCAUUUCAAGAAUUGCAUCAUUAUCUAAAAGGCAUUUUCAAUCUAGUCACGAUGUAUACGGACCAUAAGAAUCUUGAAUACUUCAUGUCAGUACAUGUUUUGAAUCAUCACAAAGCCCAUUGGAGCAUGUCUUUAUCAAGAUUUGAUUUCAAGAUCACAUAUCGAUCCAAAAAAAUAACAAAGUUUAUCAAAUGCCAUUUCUAGACGAUCUUAUCUUGCACCAAAAAAAAAGAUGCAUCUUUUGAUUAACAAAAAAUGAUUCUCUUGAAGCCAAAGCAUUUUUCAUCUUCGAGUAAUGAAAUCAAAAUUGACUAUUGUUUCAACUCUUCUGAAACAAAUUCAAUCAAGUAUGUCUUCUGAUCUUCUUGUUCUCAAUAUCAAGAAUUCUUCUUCUAAGUCCCAAGAUACUUCUAAGUUUGAAUUCAAAAACAACCUACUUUAUUUUGAAGGUCGAUUAUAUGUUCCAAAAGAAGAAGCAUGAUUACAUUGUUGUAUUACAUAUUAUUUUGCUUGGAAAUGCACUAGGCACUUAGUUGUGGAAGGUGAGGUUGUGUUUCACAAACAUAAAAAUAAAAUCCUAAUAGAUUUCAUCCAUAUGAGAAGAAUAUAAUCCAAAUUCUAAUUUAAAAGUCCUAAAAAAUACUCUUCUUAGUAGCCUCAAUCACACAUAAACCUCAAUUACCUUAAUACUUUCAUAUUUAAGCAAUUUAGAUUUUUCUUAUAAGUCCCAAUCCUAACAAGCUUUAAUUUCUAAUCUGACCGUCUACUUGAUGUGAAAUUUUGCAUGCAAUUGUCAAUGUAAGUCUUCUAUACGCUAAAGAAUUUUCAACACAAUCCAACUUAUAGAUUGUGAGAAAACCUCCAAAAAUUGCACUAAUGUCACUCAGCCGCCACCUUGAAAAGUGAAGCAAAAAUCCCAGCAGUGAUUUCUCCUUCUCCAACUAUUAACUUUGACUCAAAAUUGGUGUGCACCUUAAUCUUCAAGUCCUUCAAGAUCAUGCCAAAUUUCAUUUUGAUGUGACUAGUAGAUCUCUAGAUAUCAUAGAAAUCCUAUCCAACCCCAAACUGCCAACUUCCAAAACCCUCUUGUGCUAAAAACCAAUUAUCUUUGAAAUACACUAUUAGAUUAUCACAAAAAUUUGUAUACAAUUAGCACAUCCAAUAAUCCAAAUAAUAUUAAAUUUUGAACCGUAGAUGCUUCAUCAAUUACAUGAACUAGCCAAAAUUGAUAGCCCUAAUUAUAUUAUAUAAAACCCAAAUCAUCAAUAAAAACCCUGACUUUGAACAACAAUUUUUAAGUCUUCAAAAACCUUAAAAAGACAAUCUAUACGCCUUUGGAAAGAGCUUUAAGCUAACUCUCAAACCUUAAUCUACGAUCUUCAAAUAAAUCCCUAAUUUGCCCUAGGAGGUCAUUUUAGUGACUAGAGGUCUAAUUUUGAUCCUAUCUCACAAAUAGUCGACCCCCUAGGUAUCAAUUUAACAUAUCCUAAGGAUUUUUUAGCCCAACCCUACCUUCAACUUGAUUUAGUAUCAACCAUACCAACCAUUUACCUCUUCUAUCCUGAUUUUAUUAAUUAAUGGCCUUCUAAGGCAAAAAAAGAGUUUUUAUAUCCUAGAAGGUAAAAAUACUAAUUAACUUUUAUCUACUUGCUAUUAAGACAAGAAAAUAGACUAAGAGACUUUCAUAAAAGCCUUAUUAAAAUAUUUUGAGUUCUUGUUGAACUACUAUAAAGAGUAUUAAUUAAAAAAUUAUUUUUAGUCAUAUUUUCAUCAUAUAAUCGUGUCACAGUACGACAACAUCUUCUUCAAGCGUGUGACAACUUUCCAGCAGUAGGACAUUUUUGGAUACAACAAGACUUUGGAGCUUAUAUCCAGAGAUUUUUAGUGCCCACAAAUAUAGAAUGAUGUGAAAGACUUUGUUCAAUCAUGCGACAUUUGUUCAUGAUCAAAAACUCUCUAUUAUUGACUUUAUGGACUUCUUCAACCAUUAUCCAUUUUAGAACAAUCAUAGUCUUCUAUUUCUAUAGAUUUCAUCAUAGAUCUUCAAAUCUCAGGUUCUUAUGAUUCUAUAUUCAUGAUAGUAGAUCAUUUUACUAAGAUGGCACAUUUUGUACCAUAUAUAAAAUCUAUUACAGAUGAAGAAAUAGCUAAACUCUUUCUUGACAACGUCUAUUGCUAUUAUGGAUUACGAAAAGAUAUCAUAUCAAAUAAAGGAACUCAGUUUGUAUCAAGAUUUUGGUGGACUCUUUUUAAGAUUCUAAAAGUAGAUAUAAAAUUAUCUUUGGCAUUUCAUCUUCAAAUUGAUAGAUAAAUACAGCGUGUUAAUUAAGUUUUGUAGUAGUAUUUAAAAUGUACCAUGAACUACCAACAAAAUGAUUGGACAACUCUUUUGCCAUUGGUAGAUUUUACUUAUAAUAACAUAGUACAUUCUUCUACAAAACAAACACCUUUCUUUGCCAAUUAUGGUUAUCAUCCACGACUUGAUACUUUUGACUUUUAGAAGCUGAUAAUCUAGUAGCGCAAGAUUUGACAAAUUAUUUGUCAGAGCUACAUACAACAAUGAAGGCACAGUUUAAAGAAGCUCAAGAACAAUAAAAGAUCAAUAUCGAUGUCUAUCAAAAGAAACAACCACCAUUCCACAUAGGUGACAAGAUAUGGUUACUUUGUCACAAUAUCAAGACUACUCAUUCUUGUGAAAAGUUGGACUAUUGUAAGCUUAGACCAUUUUUUAUUUCUGUCCAAAUCAAUCUAGUUGCAUAUCAUUUAUAUCUACCAAAGUCAAUAAAAAUCCAUCCAGUAUUCUAUGUAUCUCUUCUUGAACCAUACAAGAUAGUGGACAUACUUAGAAGAAGACAAGUACCACAUCUUCCUAUAAAAGUGGAUAAUAAUGAAGAAUUUGAAGUGGAAGAAGUCUUAAACUUAAGGUAGCGCCAAAAUAAGUUAGAAUAUCUUAUUCAUUAGCAUGGAUAUAAUCUUAGUGAAAGCACAUGCAAGCCAGCAAAGAAUCUUAUAAAUCAGCAAAGAAAGUAGAGGCUUUUCAUCAAUGACAUCCAUCAAAAUCAAAAUAAAGACCUUCCCUAUAAAAGAAAUAAGAUCUAGGUAAGAUAACAUUCUACUUUCAAUCUUUGUUUGUAACUUCUUUAUAUAUGUGACAUUGAAGAGAUGGAGAAUCAACAACCAGUGAAAUUGACUAAAGAUCCUUUAUUUGUUGACUUGCCAGAUGAGACAUUGUAACUAUUACAACCUUCAAGACAAUGCAAUGGAGAUGAAGAUCCUCAAAAAUUACAUGUUUUUCUUCAAAUAGAUGGCGAGAUGUAAUGUGUUUGGUAUCAUGACCUUGGAAUAGACUCUCAAUGUUUGAUAAUUUUAUUAGAGGUAGGAACAACUCUUGAUGGUAUUUCAAAUGUUUUAUUUGAAGGAAGUUAUGAAGGCCUCAAGAAUGACUAAAUAAUAGGGUGGUCUUCUUUUCCUAGUAUGGGAUACUAUUGAUAGUUGAGAGGUCCUAUCAACUUUCUUCAAAGAGAACAAAGAUCUGAGUAUGUAACAAAUAUAAUUUGUUGCAUCAUAUAUUUUUUUAACAUAUGAUGAUCGCUCCUUAUAGAACUCGUUCCUAAAAGAGGAGAUAAUGUCAUGGAUAUACACAUGUAAGCUAGUAAUUACCUAUAUAAAUAAGUAGAAGUAAAUAUAAAUAGAUAAAAAUAAGUUAAUUCUAUAAUAUCUUCUAAAGAAGCUUCUUAGAAGCUUUAUAGAUAUUAUUUUGACUUUAUAGAUGUCCAUUGUUGACUUUAGGUUAAAAACUUGAUCAACAAGUUAUCCAUGUACUACACAUGUUGGUAGCUUGAAGAAUAAACUAAUUAUGUGGCUAACAUAUAGAAAAACUUGCUUUGUAAGUCAAGGCAUGUGUCCUACAAAGUCAACACAUAUUGGAGGUCCUAUAGAACAUCGCCAUGUAGCCCUUAGUUAGAUAGUAUAUAUAGAGACAAGAGUGAAGCUCUCUUCACUCUUGUCAACUCCUUCGUUACUUCCAGUUUAGUUUCAAGUAUCUUAAGUUUUCUUGUCAUUUGGCAAUAACCAUUCGAGUUUCUUUUUAAUAUACGUACUUCUUUAUUUUUAUUUUAUUACUUUUUUUUUGACAUGGAUUUCAUUGGUUUAUACAUCAACUUUUAGUUCAUGUCUUUGACAAGUAUCAAGAUUAUACUAAUAUUUAAGUAACCAUGCUUCUUUUAUUACUUAAGCAAAAUAAUUUAUAUUUUUGCAUAUAAAAAAUGCUCAAGGAAUUUGAUAAAAUAAUGGUGUUUGAAAUACUAUAAUACAAAUGAUUGCAUAUUUGAAUUCAAAAAAAAAGAGACAAUCAAAGUUCCUUUGAUGGUAUUUUUAAAGCUAAAUUUUUUUCUAAAUAUUACUUUCUAUUCUAUUUUUGCCAUAGUAUCACUAAUAGCUAUUAAAAUAGUUUUUAUUAGUACAACUUCAUUAAAUCUACUUAUUAUAUUAUCUUGUAAUAAUCCUUACAAGUACAACUAUUUGAAAAUCAUAUUGUCAUUAUGUAUAGUACUUAUAUUUUAUUCUCAUUGUAAGCUCAUAUUUUAUCUUUGGAUACAUUACUUUGCUACUUCUAUUUAAAAUAAUGCAUCUAAAGAUAAUACUUAUAAGAGCAUCUAUUGAUUUAAAAAUAAUAUCUUUGAUAUUCUUGGAAAUAAUUUAUUAUGCAUUAAAGAGGUGGUUGUCGUUUGUAUAAUUUGGCUAUAGCUUUGGCAACAAUACAAUACAAAAGUAUUUUUUACUGUUAGUUUUUGAUGCAUAUUUGUAUAUAUCAGAAAUACUUUUUUUCAAAAAUUUAUUGCAAAUCAAGUAAUUGACAUUUGCUUUUAAAUCCUUAUAUAAAUAGAUAUAAUUUAGAUUAUUUCAAAAAUAUAAUAAAACCACUUUAUUAGCUAUUUCUACUUAUCAUCUUGAUUCUUUUUAUCUAAGAAUUGUCCUCAAAAAUCCUCUUCUAAUUUUUCAAUUUUUUUUUGUAAAAGUUGAUUGACUGUACUUUAUAUCUAAAAUAUAAGAUUAUAGGGACUAAUUUGGUUUUUUUUUCAUCUUCAUUGGUUAGAAUUUGAAUAUACUCUCCUAGAAUGAUGAUUUAUUGAUUAAAUCUUCGUGCUUUCAAGGUUUUCUCUAUGGAUUUCUUACUUGAUUUGAUUAGUAGUAUGCUUCAUUCAUGUCCUUGUACUUCAAUGGUUGCAUGUUUUAGUUCCCAUCUUUCAUCUUUAUCUACUAAUUCUAAAGUAUUCACAAUAUUUAUGAUAUAAUUUAUUAUAAAUAUAUAUACAUAUAUAUAUAUAUGAUAUACUUUAUUAUAAAUAUAUAUAUAUAUAUAUAUAUAUAUAUAUAUAUUUGUUGAAUAUUAGAAUUUUGUUUCAACAUUUGAAUUGGAUUAAGAGAAAUGCUAUGUAAUAUCUAAUAAAUCCAACUAAUAUAAUUUGUCUCAAAAUUUUAUUGAAUUACUUCUAUAGUAUAGAGUUCUUAUUCUUGCCAUUGGAUACUUUAAUUUAAUUAUUUAGUGGUCAUUUUUUUUUUCUUAGAUCUUGCAUAGUUCCUAUAAUAAUUAGAUAUUUGAAGGAUGAGUUCUUUGUUGUACUAUAUGGAUGUAUUAGAUAUUUUUAAUAUCAUAAUUUAUUGAUAUAUAAUAUAGAGGCUAACUUUUUAGGCAACAGUUGUUGUUUGGACCAUUUCUAGAGUAAUUUGAAUACUUUCCAAAGGUUCUUAAAGUUGGCCAAUAGUGCAUAGGUACCUAAUUAUGGUCCAUCGUUAUUCUUCAAUCCUAAUUCUUAAUAGGAAAAUGUCAAGGAUAUAAUCUCAAAUAAAUAAAAAAUCAAUUUACUCUUUUAUUAUUUAAAAAGAAUAGAUAUUUACUCAAAAUUAAUAUAGUCUUAAAACUAAAAUGGUUAUUAUCAAAGACAAGAAAAAAAAAAAAAAUCUUGAAAUAAGACUAAGGACUAGAAAGGUAUUGAUAAGAAUGAAGAAGGCUUCACUCUUGCUUCUAUAUAUACUAUCCAACCAAGAGCUAUAUGGCAAUAUUCUAAAGGACUCUGGAUAUGUGUCCAAUUUGUAAGAUACAUGUCUUAUUUUGUAAAAUAAGUUUAUUAUAUGUGUACCAUAAGAUUAACUUAUAAUACAAGCUAUCAAUAUAUGCAAUACAUGGCUAACUUAUUGUCUAAUUGUUCAAUCUAUUAAUUACAUAUUAAUACAUAUAAAAGUAAAAUCAUGUUUAUGAAGCUUCUAGGAAGCUAUCCUAUAAGAUACUAUAAAAUUAACUACUUCUAUUUAGCUAUAUUAUCUAAUUAUUUAUUAAAGUAGAUAUAAAUAUAUAUAUAUAUAUAUAUAUAUAUAUAUAUAUAUAUAUAUUAUUCUUUCUUUAUGAAAUAAUAAUCAUAUCUUGAUGAAAUCUAAGACAUAACAAAUUAUAUUUGCCACAUAUUGUGAUCGUUAUUUUCUACAAAGAUAGAUGAUAGAUUUAUUUAGCUAUUAAUAAUAUUCUAUUCUAAAGUAAAAAAACCAUCCUAAUAUUUGAUCAUUAUUAAGGCCUUCAUAACUUCUUUCAAAUAAAAUAUUUGUAAUAUCAUCAAGAAUUAUUCUUCCCUCUAAUAAAACCAUCAAACAUUAGAAGCCUCUUUUAAGAUUGUGAUACCAAAUCUAUUGUGUUUUUCCAUCUAUUCAAAGAAAAAUAUGUUGUUUUUGAAGAUCUUUCUUUUUAUUACAUUAUCUUAAAGGUUGUAAUAAUUACAAUAUAUCAUUUAAUAAGUCAGUAAGUUAUAGGUUUUAAGUUAAAUUUUUUGGCUAUUGAUUUUCUGUUUUCUUAUUGCAAUAACUAUAGAAAAAUUAUAAAUAAGAAAAAAGAAUAAAAUAAAUUUUUUUUAAACCACAUUUCUUUAUAGUAAAGGUUUGCUAUUCUUCAUUUUGAUUUUGAUGGAUGUCAUUGAUGAAAAGCAUCAACUUCCUAUAUAGCAUUUGCAAGAUUGUUAGUUUGUUCCUAUGUAAAUUUACUUAUAUCAUAUUUGUAUCAAUGAAUAAGAUAUUCCAACCUAUUUUGGAGCUGCCUUAAAUUUAAGACUUCUUCUACCUAGAAUUCUUAAUUAUUAUCUAUUUCUAUAAAAAACAAUGGCAUUUAUCUUCUUUCUAAGAUAUUCAUUAUUUUAUAUGGCUCAACAAAAUCCUAACUCUAAUAGAAUAUUAAUUAAACUCUAAUUAGACCAUAACAAUACUAAGCAGGCUUUAAUCAAAUUCAAAGAAAUUUCAAAGGAGUUACAAAGAAGCAAUAAAUAAUCUUAAAAAAAUAUUAGAAUGAUCACAAAUAUAUCCCAAAUACAUCUCAAUUCAAUCUUAAUUUAAUCCUAGUUAAAAUCCUAUUAGAAUUCAUUCAAACUUUAGACCAAAAACUAACUAAAUCUUAAAUCCUAAAAAAACUCAAAUAAGAUCCUAAAUCCUAAAUCAAACUUUAACCAAAUCCUAAACCAAAUCUUAAACCUUAAACCAAAUUCUAAACCUUAAAUCAAAUCUUAAUCCUAAAUCAAAUCCUUACUAAAUCCUAAGUCCUAAAUCAAAUCCUAACCAAUCAUAAAUCAAAUCCUAACCAAUCUUAAAUCAAAUCCUAACCAAUCUUAAAUCAAAUCCUAACCAAUCCUAAAUCAAAUCCUAACCAAUUUUAAAUCAAAUCUGAACCAAUUAUAAAUCAAACCCUAAAUCCUUAAUCAAAUCUUAAUUAAAUCCUAAUCCUAAAUCAAAUCCUAAUCAAAUCCUAAAUCCUAACCAAAUCCUAACCUUAAAUCAAAUCCUAACCAAAUCAAAAACUCUAAAUCAAAUCCUAAUCCUAAAUCAAAUCUUAACCAAACUCUAAUCCUAAAUUAAAUCCUAACCAAAUUCUAAUCCUAAAUCAAAUCCUAACCAAAUCUUAACCAAAUCCUAAACCAAACCCUAAAUUCUAAAUCAAAUCCUAGUAAUUCCUACAACAUAUUUAUACCUCAAUUACUAAUGAAUGAAUCAUUGAUCUUAACUCAAAAUUUGCAUGGUUUUUAACAAUUAAGUUGACAACAAGCACAAAAAAAUUUGAAAAUGAUCGAAAUAACCAAAUAGACGAUAGCCUCAAAAACAUGCUUGGAUAUUGGCCGGCCUCUUUCUCUGACCUUGAUGCCAAUUUCCAAGAGCCAAUAUCUCUUUUUUUCACCAUUUGAUUGAUCUCAAAAUUCUCAUACACAUAGGAAAAUAAGUCUUAUAUCCUCUUACAUAAAUUUCACUCCAAUCCAAAUAAUAGAUUGCAAGAAAUCUUAAAAAUCCUCACUGGACCUAAAAUUCUACUUUUUGAGAACUUGACCUAUUUAAACCUCAAUAACCCUCAAUUCAACUAUUAGAUUGAACUAAGAUUUACAAUACAUAUUAAGCACAAUUAUGAACAUUAAUCCACAAAAUUUCACUUGUAGAUCUAUUAGAAAACUCUUGAAAUACUUGAAACAUCAAUCUUAUUUUAUUUCACAAAAUCCAAAUCAUCCGAAAACAAUCUUGACUUUGUAAAGCUCUUACAAAGUCUUAACAACUCUAAAUCAUCCAAAACCAAUGCUCAUAGAAAUCCUAUCUAGUUUGCUAUCAAAUCCCACUCUCCGCUUUGCAAAAGAACCCUCGAGUUGCUGUAGGUGCUCAGCUUUGUGCCUGAAGGUCUGAUUUCGACCUAGGUUGAUAACCAGCCCUCCUUGGGUAUCAAUAUCUAGUUUUUUUAUGUAAUUUUUACUAGAAUUUACUCUUAACUUCUUCCUAAAGAUACUUAUAUUAUUUAUUUUUCCAAUCUAUUUUAUUUUGGCUUAUUUAUGGACCUAUAAAAUAAAUAGAAGUCACUUUUGUAAAAAAAUAGUACUACUACUAAAAGUUUUACAACCUUCCUAUCUUUUUAUCCAUAUUUUUUUACUUUAUUUUUUAAUUUGGUUCUUCUAUAAUAAGAUCCAUAUUAUCAUCUUUUACCAUAUAGUUGUAUUACAAUACGACAAUAUUGGUCUUUUGUUGUUCUUAAAUUUUUUUUUUAUUAUGUCUUCAUUAUUGAAUGUAGUUUAGAUAAAUUAUUUUUUAAAUAUUUUAUCACAAGAUUAUCAACUUUUGAGAAGUCAAAAGUAUUAACACAAUUGAACUUGCUUAAAAAAGGUUGAAUUAAUAGUCAAUAUUGAUUUUAUUACUCAAAGAUGAUAAUACUCUAGCUUUAAGAGAAUUAUUUUUUUUCAUCAAAAGCUACAUUUUCUUCAUUUGGUGUAAGUUAUAAAUAUCUAGAAAAGACCUUUAACAAAUCUUAUUAUUUUUUAGAUUGAUAAAUAAUCUUAAAAUCAAAGCUUCAUAAAGAUAUGCUCUAAUAAGCUUAAAAAUAAUUCAAAGUACAUGCUACCAUGAAAUACUUGAGGUUCUUUGAGAUUUGUGUAUACAAUGAUUGGAUUGGAAGUACCUUCUAAAUAAUAAUUUCAUUUUUUGAAAUAAAUAUAUAAUUAUAAAAAGCUCUUUAUUAUAGAUCUUGCAGUUGAUCUCAACUACUAAAAUUUUUAUGGAAUAAAAAGCUAUCAAAAAGAACUUGUCAUUUACUUUUGUUCAUAACACCACUACAUCAAUGAAAAAAUGUGAUGUUUCUAUUUUUAUAAAAGAUGUUUUAAAAAAGUCAUUAGAAUAUAAGAUUGGUGUAAAAAUAAAUAUUAUCUUUAACACUUUAAAAGAUGCUUUAGCUUCUUUACUUCACUUAAGUUUGUCUUUAUAUAUCAAAUAUGUAAGAAGAGUUACAACUUGUAAAUAGUUGUUGAUGAAAUUUCAAUAUUUAUUUAUAAAUUUUAAAAAAUAUUAUACAUUUCUUGUUAUUUUUUAAAUAUUUCAAUCUAUAGUAGUCUAUAUUGAAGAAAAAGAAGUCUAAAGGCUACAAAUACUUAGCAUCAGCAAGGAUUGCACUCUAAGAGAAAGUGUGGAGGAAGAUAAUUCUUACUUCCAACACUCUUUACUUAUAGGUGGUGGUUUGCGCACCAACGAGGCAACUUCCAUCCAUUUGAUAUUACAUCCAUUUCUACCUCAUCUUACUAAAGCCUCGGUACCACCACAAUAACUUACUUUAUCUCUUUGCUACCUUUUUACUAUUAGCAACAUACUAUGCUUAAACUUUAUGUGAUUGUAACUAAGCAAGUACUUGCUGUUCUUCAACACUCCCACUUUGCUAAUAUUCAAAAGGCUUUUAAUCUAAUCUUUAAAUCAAGUCAUGAUAUUUAUCCUUGAUCAAUGCCUUUGUAAGCACAUCAACAAGCAUGUCAUUUGUAGUACAAUACUUCAACCCUAUUAUUUCGUCUUCAAUCUUCUCUCGUAUAAAAUGAUAUUGAACAUCAAUGUACUUGUUCCUUGAAUGGUGUUUUGGAUUCUUGGCAAAUAUAAGACAUCCUUGAUUAUCACACAUAAUGAGAGUUGCUUCUAAUUGCACUUGUCCAAUGUCUUCUAAGAGUUGCCUAAUCAAACAUGCCACCAUUGUACAAUGACUUACUGCCAUGUUCUCUGCCUCCAUCGUUGAUCUUACAAUAGUAGGUUGUCUUUUGUAAUUCCAUGAAAUGGCUCCCACUCCAAUGAAGAACACAUAUCCUUUUAAGUACCUCAAUAUCUUGUUUACCAUUUUUUUUCAAUGGAUUGAUCCACCCUUAGAUAUGGUACCAUGCCCUUGGUAAUUGUUUCAAUCCAUACAAAGAUUUCUUUAAUUUGCAAACAAGAUGUUCUUUGCCUUAUUGUACAAAUCCUUGAGGUUGGUCCAUGUAGAUGUCUUCUUGCAAUUCUCCAUUCAAAAAGGCCGUCUUCACAUCCAUUUGGUGUAUUUCCAAAUCCAUUGCUACCCCAAUUGCUACAAUGGUCCUUAAAGUGGUGAAUUUGGCAACAGGUACAUAAGUCUCAUUGAAAUCAAUUCCAACAACUUGUGAAUAUCCUUUGGCAACUAAUCUUGCCUUGUGCCUCACCACCACACCCAUUGCAUCUCUUUUAGUCCUAAACAUCCAUUUACAACCAACACUAGAUCGGUUUGGUGGAAGAGGUGCCGAUUCCCAUGUACCAUUGUCUAUAAGAAAUUGGUACUCUUCUUCCAUAGCCUUCUCCCACUUGAUUGCAUCUUCACUCUUCAUAACAUCACACAAAGACAAUGGAUCAGCAAGAAGAGUAAUAUUUGCAUUUUCUUUACUUACUUGAUGGAAGAUGUGAUCCUUCCAUCAUUCGCCAUGUUGCCUUCUUUCUCUCAAAGGAAAUAUCCUUUCAUUGAUUGAAGAACAUUCACCUUGUUCUUUUCCAACUCUUAAACCUUAUCAUUUCUCACUCAAUGGUUGGAAGUCUUCAUCAUUAUCAUCAUCCCAAUCUUCAACAUCUUCAUUUUUUUCAUUGCUGGUCCUAUCAAUUAUAGAAGCCUUCAUCUUUUCAACCUUCUUUUGCUUUUCAUCUUCAUCAUCUUCAUUGACUUCAUCUUUUUGUUUCUUUGCUGAAUUCAAAGAUGUGUCCAUAAACACACCAUUACUCCCACUUAGACACAUCUCCAAGUGCUCACAAACACUCUUGUGCUCUAAAAACACAACAUCACGACUUUUGAUGAUCUUCUUGGAUUCCAAGCACAUUAGCAUAUAUGCCUUGGUACCUUCACAAUAACCAAGAAACACACACUUUGUAUCUUUUGCAUCAAGUUUGGACUUCAUACAAUCAGAUAUUUUUGCAUAUACAAUGCAACCAAAGGUCUUCAUAUGGGAAAUGCAAGGUUGUCUACCACUCCAUGCUUCUUGUGGUGUCAUUGAUGCAAGAACACUUGUUAGACAUUUAUUUCUUGUAUAUACUGCAUUCACCAUAGCUUCCGCCCAAAAUUCAUAGCCAAGGUUUUGAGCAUGUAACAUACUCCUUGCUAUCUCUACAAUGGUUUGAUUUGCCCUUUGAGCAACACCAUUUUGUUGUGGAGUGUAUGGAGUUGUGGUUUAUCUAGCAAUUCCUUCAUUCUUCAAAUAAAUAUCAAAUUGCUUAGACAUGUACUCACCUCCAUUGUCCGUACGUAGCACCUUGAUCUUGCAUUCACUUUGUUUUUCAACAAGUGCUUUAAACUCCUUAAACCUCCAAAAGCAUUCAUUCUUGGCUUUAAGAAUAUAGAUCCAAAUCUUUCUUGAAUAAUCAUCAAUGAAAGUGAGAAAAAACCUUGAUCCUCCAAUACUUAUAUUUUUCAUAGAUCCACAUACAUCUGAAUGGACAAUCUCCAGCAACUUGGUAGCAUGUGUUGCUACACUCCUUGGAAAUGAGGCCCUUUGUUGUUUGCCUUGUAUGCAUCCUUCACAUGUAAUUUUUUUUGCAUUUUGGCUUGUAUUUCCAAGAUCUAAGCCACUUACCAUGGUCUUGAGCUCUUUCAUGCUCUUCACAUUCAAAUGGCCAAGGCGACGAUGCGUUAUAUUCAACUUGUCUUCGUUUGAUAUAAACUCAACAAAUACAGCUACCUCUACUCCAUUCACCUUCUUACAAAUGAGGUAGUACAAAUUUCCGUCUUUCAAGCCUUUGAAAACCUUGUCUCCACUCAAUGAUCUUACAAAACAUCCAUUCAUAUCAAAUUGAACUUUAAAACCUUCCAUUACAAGUUUACUCACCGAAAGAAGGUUUUGCUUCAUCUUAGGCACAUGAAGGACAUUUUUGAGUCUCAUCCGAUUGGUUUGUCCAUUCACAACCACCUCCACCAUAAUAGAGCCAAUUCCAAUGGCUUCACAUGUACCACUAUCUGCCAACACCACGUUUGAUGCUCGAAUAGCUUCAUAAGUAUCAAAUGAACACUUAUAAGGUGUCAUAUGCUUGGAACAACCUAAAUCCACAAUCCAUCUUAACAUGGCAGCCAUAGAGGUCCCAUUUGUUGCCAUGAAUGCAUAAUCUUAUCUUCCAAACUCGUCUUGCAUACUAUUUGCAUUCUCCUUCUUCAUCUUUUUUCCUUUGUAGUAAUUUCGAGCAAAAUGGCCUAUUUUGCCACAAAUGAAGCAAGAUUUGACAUUACUUCGUUGAUUUGGAUAGUUGCCCUUGCCUUGACAUGAAUACAAUGCUGAAACUUCACUUUGGGGCUCCUUUUCUUUCUUCUUGGUUACUUCAUGGGCAAGUCUUGCCAUCACAUAGUCCAUUGUAAGUUCUUUUACCUUGAUGGAAUCCAAUGCCACAAUAAGGUAGUUGUAGGAUUCAGGAAGGCUCAUUUGCAAAGUCAUGACAAUAUCACUUUCUUCUACAGGCUUGUCAACAGUUGUUAGUUGGUUUGUAAGAUCCUUUACCUUAUUGACAUGAGCCAUGAGGUCUUCACCUUCUCCCAUCUUGCAAGUGAAGAACUUUCUCCUUGUAUAAAUGAUGUUGGAUAAGUUCUUACUCUCAUAGAUGUUGCAAAGAGUCUUCCAUGCUUUCGUUGGUCCUUUGCAAGAGAUAAUGUGAGAGAAGUUGGCUUCAUCCACAUUUGUUGCAAUCAACCCAAAAGCCUUCUUUUUACGAUGUUUGAACUCCUUCUUCUCCUUCAUAUCAGCAUCUUUGCUUGGAGCCUCUUCACUUUCAUCUAUAAUAUCCCAAAGAUCCAAAGAUGCCAAUAAAAGCUCCAUUUUGAUCUUCCAAUGGUAGAAAUUUUUACCUCUAAACUUCUCAAUAACUCUCAAUCCUUCACCCUCACUUGUUGCCAUGUCUAAAGAAGAGUUGUAUCAAAAAAGAUUGUAAGGAGAAGUCCUAAUGCUCUCAAAAUCAGCAAAAAAGUUUUGCUACCUUAGAAUCCCAGAAUCCUUCUUUGUGAACAAAUUAGUAUUUUAACUCUCAUAAACACUCUCAAAUUCACUUCUAAGACUUCUCACAAGUCUGGUGACCUUUCCAAAUCUAAAUUGUUACUCAAAUAUCUCUCUUAUAUUCAUAAAUCACCUCUCUACACCGAAAGAGGCCUUUUAAAGACAAUCAGUAAUUUUAGGACAUGAAAUUAUAAAGUAAGGUCACCAAAGAUCUAUCUCAGCAAUAGCACAAUGCAAAGUUUGCUUUUAGGUGAUAAACCAACCAACAACACCAAAAUGCUCUUAACAACAAAUAAGAGCAAACCAAGAUCUAGAUCUAGAUCUGAAUCUGAAAGUUAGGUACUUUUAAUGCCUAACAUCAACAAUAACAACUUGAUCUACUCUACACUUACAAAAUACUUCAAAGACUUCAAAAGACACUCAAGCAAAUGUAAGUGGGCCCAUAACCUAUUGAAGAAAAAGAAUUCUAAAGGCUACAAACACUUAGCAUCAGUAAGGAUUGUACUCUAAGAGAAAGUGUGGAGGAAGAUAAUUCUUACUUCCAACACUCUUUACCUAUAGGUGGUGGUUUGUACACCAACGAGGCAACUUCCAUCCAUUUGAUAUUACAUCCAUUCCUACCUCAUCUUAUUAAAGCUUUGGUAUCACCACAAUAACUUACUUUACCUCUUUGCUGCCUUUUUACUAUUAGCAACAUACUAUGCUUAAACUUUAUGUGAUUGUAACUAAGCAAGUACUUGCUAUUCUUCAACAGUCUAGACUUUCACAGAUUCCAUCAUGAAGCCAUCAUUAAAAAUGGUAUAUCUUGAGAAGUCACCUUAUUUAUUAUAAAAUAUACACAUUUCUAUCUUGGCAUAUAAUUAUGCAUUUCUAAGUUUUUGUAAUACAUGACAAAAAUGAAGUUCAUACUCUUCUAUAUUCUUAGAGUACAUUAAUAUAUUUUUUAGAUAAGAGAUAGUAGAUAGUAGCAAAAUCAUCAAGAAACUCUUAUAAAAUCAUUAUUCUUUAGAUAUUAAAAAACAACUGAUAUAUUUUUGAGUCUAAAAGGUAUGACAUUAUAUUUAAAAUAUACAUACCUAAUUCAAAUCAUACUCUUUCAUUCAUCUCUUCUUUUGAUGUUUAUCAAGUUGUAUGUUUUUCAUAGAUCUAUUUUUGUAAAGAUCUUUAUUUGAUUAAAUUAAUUAAAAAGUCAUAAAAUUAAAAAUAAAGGAUAUCUAUAGCUGAUAGUGAUCUUAUUGAGUCCUUAAUAUUUGCAAAGAUCCAUCUUUUUUCUUCAUAAAUAAGAUAGGAGUACUUAUUGGAGAUUUUGAAUGGUGUAUGAAAUUCUUAGCUAAGUUUUUAUCAAUGUAUUCCUUAACUAUAAUCAAUUUGUUUUACAAUAAGAUAAUGAUUGGUUCAAAUGGUACUUGAGGUCCUUCUUGAAGAUCAAUUGAAUAAUCAUUUAGAUGAUUUUUUGGAAAAAUAUUUUUAUUUUUUUUCUUAAAAAUAUCUUAAUAAUCUUAAUAUUGAUUUGAAAUGCCACUUAUAGUCUUUUCACCAUGAAAAAUAGAUGUGGCAUAUAUGGCAAAAAGUGACCAUUUUUUUGUAACAUGCAUGAAAGCUCUUGUAACUAUCAAUAUAUAUUUGAUUAUAUUAGACUUAUAAAUUUUUACUUGAUUGACAAAAUCUUGGCUUCAAUAAUAGCAAAAAUCAUGAUUAUAAGAAGUACAGUCUAUUUGAGGUUAUAAUUUUUUAGCUAUUACUCUCUUAAAAUAAUUGAUUAGAAAGAGAUUUAAUCAUAUUAAAUAUUACUAAGCUAUUAUGACCAUUAGUUUUUACAUAUAAAAGAAUAUUUUUAUAGGCAAAAUCUUUAAAAGACAACAAACGACCAUCUAUUAUUCUUACAUGAAAAAUUUUAAUUUUCUUGACUAAAGAUAUAAUUUGUAUCUAUAAAACAAAAUUUUUUUGACAAAAUUUGUAUCUAUAAAACAAAUUAAGGCUUUUGAAUCUAAUAAGACAAAGACUUUUUGAUUUUUUAGUCCUUAACAAACUUCUAUUAUGAAACAAAGUAAAGGAUCUUAAAAUAGAAUAAAAUCUUUAUUAUAUAUUAUAGAAGAUUUUAGAUAUAAGGUCUCUAUUGUAGUUAAAAAAAAUUGUUUAUGAUACAUUAUUAUCUUAUAUAACCAUGCUACUCAUUUUCUAAUUAUGUUGCUUCUUUGGAUAAUAUUAAAAAGUAUGUUUAAAUUAUCUAAUAUAUAGGCACAAACCUUCUUGAUGAUGUCAAGUCUAUUUUUGCUCAGUAAGGAAUUUCAAACUUAUCAUAUUAAUUUGUAUAGGCUUUGAAUUUCAUCUAUAAGCUUCCAAAAAUUUAAAAGAUAUUGCUAUGACUUGACUUAUAUCUCUUUCAAAGUGUCAAUUAUUGCAUGCAAUGGUUUAAGCAAUAAAUUACUUCAAUGUGUCUGCUUUUGGUAUUGUCAAUAAUAAAUCCUUGAUAUUAUCUUUUAAUCUAUACUAAAAUUAAUUGAUAAGGAAUUUUUUAUUUUAAUCUAUGUUGUAGGUAAGGUUUUCAAAUUUAGUAAUAUAUAUGGUGGCUAAAUGUAAUCUUAGUUAUAAAGAUAUAAAUUUAGUCUCUAUUAUGUUUUUAAUUACUUCUUCAAAUAUGGCCAUAAAAACUUUUACGAGUGAAUUCAAAUAAUAAAGUAAUUGUGAAUUAUUUUCUAUUAAAGGUGCAAAUGAAGAAAAAAUACUUUAAGUUAGAAGUGCACCUAUGGAUCCAACUUAAAUAAAUCCAUCAAAGUAUUGAAAAGGAUACAAUCUUAAAUAUAGGUUCACUAGUUAUAUAAAUCUUCAAAACUUUGAUCUUAUUUCAUAAAAAUUCUUUGGCAUAUUUAUCCUUGCUUCUUUUAUAUUUAUAGUAGUAGAACUUUUUGAAUUUAGUUAAGAAUUUGAUCAGCUUGCUUCUUAUAACUACACAACUUUUUGGCAUGGAUUUUGAAUGUUAUUAUUGAUUUUUUCUAUGGAUAUAAGAAUAAUACCUUCAUGAUUCAUGUUGAAAAUACAUAAAAUUUCUAUCUUUAGAGUAUCGACAAGCUUGUGAAGAUUUAUAAUAAUUAUAAAUUUAUUCUUAUUUUUGUUGAGAAUAAUAUCCAUAAAUUUUUUUUCUAAAGACAACUCAAACAAAUUCAAAAGUCAAAUUAGAGGACAAUAAUUUGCAACCUUUAAUAUCAAAAGAAUAUUUUUACAAAGAGAGGUAAUUUUUUUUAAAGAAAAAAUCAAUGUUAAAGAACUAAAAGUUAAUUUAAAGGUAGAUAGUCCAUAAUAUAAUAAUAGAAGUAGAAUAAUCCUGUAAUAAGGUAUAGAUAAGAUAUUUGUAUAGAGAUAGAUAGUUAGAACCAUGGAAAUUUUUAGAAUUGGGAUUAGGUUAGUGGACCAGGUAGGAUCCACCAUAAGACAUUCUAGAAAGAAUUUAGGGUAUUAAUUUAGGUAGGAUCUACCAUAAAACCUUGUAGAAAAGGCAUGGGUGGUUAUUUAGGUGGAUCCACCAUAGAACCUUCUAGAAGGAAUGUGAGGCAAUUAUCUAAGUGGAGUCUAUUACUUAGAUACAUUUUAGAAAGUCUAGGGUGUUAGAAUAAAGUAUAAAUAGAACUGGCCAAGUCCUUUUGGGGCAUCUGGUCAAGUAUGGCUUUGGACUCUUUUUCUAAAUACAAUUGGAUUUUUUAUCUUCUUAUUUUGUUCUAUUCUGUCUUAAUUUUGGUUGCUUAGUUUUGUCUUCUAUGGCCCAUUCUGUUUAAUUUUGUUCAAUUUUGUUCUGGUCCACUUUGUCCUACCUUGUGAUGAGGUUUUAUAUUACUGUAGAUUAGAAGGAUCUUAGAUAAUUGAGAUAGAUUAAUCUUGUUUCAAAUCCACUCUCUUCUAAAAGAAUAAAAAAAAGAAAAGAAAAGAAAAAGAGUUAGUUUUUUUCUCAAAAUUGUUAUGAGUCAUCAAAUUGACUCAUUUGUUGUUUUAGAACAAAAGAAUGCAUUGAGAGUACCAAUAUUGAAAUUGCAGUUGAAGAUUAGUCUAAAAUAGUUAAAUAAAAAAAUAGUAUUAAUAGAAAAAAUAUAGUUAGUAUAGAAAAUCUAAUAGAAAUUCUCAUAUAAAAGGUAUUUUAGAGAUAUCAAAUUGAUAUCUUUUUAUUAUCUUAAGAACAUCUAGAAAGAAUCUAAAAUAUUUGAGAUUCUAAUAUUAUAUAGUUUGUAUAUAAUAUAAAUAUAAUUUGAAUAUAUAAAAAAUAUAAUAUUGAUAUUAUAUUUAUAUAGUAUUGAUUCAAUAUACAUAAUAUAAUAUAAUAUAUGGAGUACAAGUAUAUAUAGUCGACUUUAUAUACAAAUUUUAAAUAAGCAAUAAUGGCAAGUUGAAUUUUAUUAUCUGAUUAUUAGGUGGUGGUUCUUAAGCAAUUUUUUUUUUCAUAUCAGGACUACAAGAAUCUCUACCAUCAUCACAGGUACUAUUGCAAUAGAGAUUUGGCUUAGACUUUAAUCUUCAUUUUGUUUUUUUCCUAUUUUAUAUUUUAUAUUUGAAGAAACUCCAAAUCUUAUUGAUAAUGCAGCCGAUCCUCCAUUAUUAUUUAAAUAUAGAUUUUUGGAAGGUUAAGUAGAAAGUCUUUGCUGUUAUUGUGCUAGAAAGUUGUUGGCAUAUUUCAAAGUAGUAUUGGCAAUAAGAAGUGGUAGUGUGGCUUUCCAUUGUUUACAUUGAAUCAUUGCCUUAAAUAAAUUAUGCAAUUGGUUGCAAAUCCUCAAAAAAAAAAUUGAAGCAAUUUUAUUACAUUGCCGUUUUUCCAUCCUAGAUAAUGUAAUUAAAGUUCUUUUUCAUUAUUCUCUUGUUAUUUCUUCUUUUAAAUUGGCUACAAUCGUCAAUGGCUAUAUUUGAUUUAUAUUGUACUUAUGUUUUAUAAAUAGUGAUGUUAUUUCUUGGAAUUGGAUUUGAUCAAUGUAUUUCUAGAAAAUAAUAUGUAAUUAAUUGUACUCAGAAAAGUCAAAAUUUUGGAGUAAGAAUCAUAGUGUAGGUGAAAGAAUAGAAGAUGCUGGAUUGUUGCAAUAUUGUGUAGAGUUCUUAUGGUAUUGCUUACUUUCAAGAUUGGAUUAUAUAUUCUUUUAAUCAAUAGUAUGACUAAUAAAUUUGUGUGGUAACAACAUAGGAGAAAAUUUGUUCUUUGUGGUGGCUCUACAAGUAAGCUAAAUGAGUUAAUGAGUUUCUUUGUUGCUAGCUACUCUUGCUUGGUUAGCAUUGUGAGAUUGAAGGAUCCAAUGUUAUGUGAUAACACAACUAUAUGGUAAUAAAUAAAAAUAUGAAUUUUAUCAUAGAAGAAUUUAGUAGAAAGAUGUAAUAAAAAAACAAAGAUAAAUCAUGAGAAGGUAGUAAAAUUUUUAGUUUUAGUAUUGCUUUUUAUAAAAGAAACUUUUAUUUAUUUUGUAUAGACAUAAAUACCUCAAAUCAAAGUAAAUAAAAAUAAAAAAAUAAUAAAAAAAUCUUUAAAAGAAAAUUAAAAAUUAGUUUAAAUAAAAUUAUUAUAAAUUAUCAAAAUAAUUUAUAUAGAGAAGACUGGUUGUGAACUUGGAUUGAAAUUAAAUUCGAAUGUACAAAACCAUGCACAUAUCGCAAUUUCAGGACUCUUUUGCAAAUUGGAGAGUAAGUUCUAAGAGUAGGCUUGAGAAGAAAUUUUAGAAAGUUUUUUUGAUAUCAUUUGGAUUAAUAUUGAGAUUUUGAGGAAUUUUUAAACUUAAGUAAAGUACUCAAAGGAUUCAGAUUUUGAAAAGUAUAAUAAGUUUCUAAGGUUGAAAAUUUUGUGAGUUUUGUAGCAUAUUUAUAAGUAAAAAUUUGGAAAUUUGUCAAUAUGCUUGUUGUAAAUGUGUGUAAUAAUUUGAAGUCAAUUAAGUGAUUAAAUUAAAGAAUAUGAGAGUUACUAUAGAUAAUGGCUUCAAAUUGAGAUUUAGAGGGCCAAUGAGUGUUUUUAAGAUAUCUGUCAAUUUAUUAGUUGAAUUAUUAUUAUAUAUAUAUAUAUAUAUAUAUAUAAUUUUAAUAGUAGCUAGACUUCUAAUAACUUUACAAAAUUUGGAAUAAGUUUAAUGGUAAAAUUAAGAGAUUUUGAUUCUAGAAUAUCAACAUCAAGGUUGAAAAAAGAAGCUGGCCAAGACUUGAGCAAAAUUUAGGAAUUAUUAUCUAUUUGAUAUGCACAAUCUUCUUCAAAUAUAUAUUUUUCUAAUUUUUAAUUUAGUUUUUAUAAAAUAUAUAGAUUUUGAAUCAAAAUAAAAAAUUUAAUUGUUACUUAUUGAAUUUUUAAUUUGCUAUAGAAUUUAUCCAAUAUUUAAGAUUCAAUUAGAUUUUAUUUAGAAUUGAAUUAGAAUUGAAUUAGGAUUUAGGAUUUUAUUAGGAUUUUAUUAGGAUUUUAUUAUAAUUUUACUUAGGAUUUGAUUAAGAUUUAUUAGGAUUUUAUUUAGAAUUAUGAUAAGAAUUUAAGUAAAAUUUAAUUUAAGAUUUAGUUAAGAUUGAUUAGGAUUUUAAUUGGGAUUAAAUUAGGACUGAAUUAGGAUUUAAUUAUAAUUUAUAUUUUUAUUAUUUUUUAAAUAUUAUUUAUUAUUUCUUUUAAAUUUUCUAUUUAUAGUAUUUUUUAAAGAUUAUUUUUAUUUUUUAAAGAUUUUAUCUCUAUAUUUUUUUUGGAUUUUUUUUAUUAUUUUUCUCUGAGAUUAAUUUAUGACUUCUUUGUGUUUCUUUUGUUACUUCUUUUAAAUUUAUUUUGGGUUGAUCAAAUUUUGAUUAAGAUUAUUAAAGUUUAUUUAAAGUUUAUUUGAUAUUCUAUUAGACUUGAAAGAAUUGUUGUUGCAUUUCUAUUUAUCUUCCAUAGUUAGAUGCCUAGUGCAUUUUAAAGUAAGAUUAUACGUAAUACAAUACUACUACAAGGUAUCUAUGUGUACAAAGAAGUAUUUCUUUAUUGUUGAUUAGCUAAUUCUUCUUUAGUUUAGAGUUCAAUAGAUCUGUGGCCAUAGCAUGGAAUUUAUCUAAUUUAAGGAGUUGCUUCAUUUUUAUUCUUCUUCUGGUUAUUACUACAAUAUAAAUUUUUCUUCUUUUGUUUAAGUGUUAUUAUAUAUCAAAGGUAUGCAAGGACGUUUUCACCAUGUAGGCCAAAUUACUUAAUAAUUCAUAUCUAGUCCAAAUUACUUAAUAAUUCAUAUCUAGUCCAAAUUACUUAAUAAUUCAUAUCUAGUCCAAAUUACUUAAUAAUUCAUAUUUAGUCCAAAUUCUUAUCAUACUUUACAAAGUCCAAAGAAUUUGCAACUCUUGUUAUUAUUGCAUUAGUUCAAAGGCCAACCACUAGUAUAAUUUUGACGUUGAAAUAGAAAUACAAUGUGCUUAGCAAAUUUUGAUUCUUUUCAAUAAAACUUAUUAUACAAAUAAAUGUUUAUACUUCAAGUACUAUCUAGCACAAGUGAAAGUUAUUGCUUUACAAAAAGUCAAUGUAGAUUAGGAUACAAAUUUUUCUUACUAUUUGGUAAUUGAAGUAAGUAUCUACAUUUACGUCAGUGGUUGUUGUAUGGAUUCUUAGCUUUGUUUGUGCUUUCAUAGAUUAAAGUUGGAGUCAUGCUGAAAAAUAGAAUAAUAUGUAAAAAUAAGGUGAAAUUUUAUGAAAGUUUGGACUAUUAUUAAAAAAAUAAAAAAAUAAAAAAAAUAAAAAAAUAAAAAAUACUUAUGUAAUUUAUUUAAAUUUGUAGUUUAAAUUUAGUAAUUAAAGAUAGAAGUUGUAGGAUUUAUUAGUAAGAAGUUUAAAAGGCUUUUGAAGUGAAAGGUAUAGUAUUUUGACUCCUAGAACAUACCAUAUGGGUGGAUAGGAUAAGUGAUAAAGGACUUCAUUUCUAUUAAUUGGAAGAUAUACUCAAUGGACUUUGAGAUGUUAACUGGGACCAUAUUGGAGUUUGGGACGACUUUAGGGUGACCUAUUUGAGACAAGGCAGACCAUUUGAGGGAAGGCAACCCAUUUAAAGUAUAGAGGCUGGAUUCAAAAAGCUGGUAUUUUGGGCUAGAAUUUGGGUAAAAAAAAAUGUGUAAUUUGCAGUAGUAAUGAGAGAGUUAUGGUUGUUUGAAGUUAGGAUGUGUUUUUGGUAUCUACUAUUACUCUUUUAAGCAUAUAGAGAGUUAUAGAAAAGCUUUGAAGAAUUGAAAAGUGAUAUUUAAAAUUUGACUUAAAAAAUUACAUUUUAUGUCAAAAUAUUGAUACAUUAUAAUCUAGAACAAAGGAGAAAGAGUUGUUGAAAGUUAGUAUUUAAAACUAGGAUUUGUAAGUGAGUUGUUUUAAUAGAGAUUUUGAUUUUUGCCAUAUCUUGAGUUUUUAGAUGAAUUUUUGGCUAAAUAUUUCCACAAAUGUAGAUAACUAUGUUGAAAAGUUGCAUAUGAAAAAUUUAUAGUAUUUGACCUUUGAAUUUUUGAAAUAUAAAAGAAUUAGUGCAUAGGUGCCUAGAAAUUGACAUGUUUAGCAUCUACUAGAGAUUAGGCAAUAUCUAAAGACUUGCAAUGAAUUUAUGGUUGAUUUUUUGUAUGGAAGUAAUUACAGAUAUAAGUUAACUUUUAGAGAAUUUUAAACCCACUUGGAUAAUUAGAUUAGAAGUUGUUGAGUGAUACAUAUACAAAAAGGAUCUCCAUAGGAAUAGAAGUGAUUUUAGGAUAUCUAGUUGCAUCUUGGGUAUUCUUGUACAUUCUAGACUUGUCUAUUUGAUGUAAUUGUCUUCUUGAAGAUAAGUUAUAAAUCAUAUUUGUGUUUUAUAAUCUUGCAUCUUUUUUGAGCAUUUAAUAGCAGUCAGAGGCCUAGCACUUUUUUGAUGCAACUAUCUCUACUACAAUAUUAGGCUAUAAGAAUGUUUAAGUCUUUGAUGUAGGAUAGCUUAAAUAUAAACAAAGAAGCGGUCAAGCCAAAGUGAGCAUUAGAAAGCAAGAAUAGAGGUAUUCAAUGAUUGAAUCAACUAACAAAGGAUUGUUAUUGGUAUUUUCUUAUAGUAAGAAUCUUAAUGAAAUUAUUAAAGAUUAGAGACUUUGAAACAGAUUGACUUGGAGUUAAAGUGGAAUCAUCAUUAAAAGGGUAUUUAUCAACGUUCUAAAGCAAUAAAGUAAAAAAGUGAAGCUUUAAGGUGUCCAAGCUAGAAGUACUUUUCAAUUUUGUCCAAAUUCAUUAUUAGUCUUUGUUAUUUGUAAAAAAAUCCAAUAAAUAUUGUAAAAUGAUAAUCUAUUAAUUAAAUAUCAUAAUUGAAUAUAAUUGAAUCACAAAUAAAUUUAAGAUUUAAGGAAAUAAUAAAUUAUGAAUGAAUUUUGAUUAAAAAUAGAUAAAUUUUUAUUUAUAAAUAAAAAUUUAUUUAUAGAUAAAAAAAUUUAUCUUAAAUAAUAUAAAAUAAAAUAUAUUUUAAAAAAUAAAAUAAAAUAAAAUAAUAUAAUAUAAUAUAAUAUGUAUUUUUUUAAAUAUAUAGAAUUUAAAGUAUUUUAUAUUAUUUAUUAGAUAUGAACUUAUUUUAGCUCAUAAUUAGAGAAUUUUAAAUUUUUUUGGAUAUAAAUUAAAUAAUAAUUAUAAAAUAAUAGAAUUAAUAGAUAAUUAAAAUUGUUACAAAGUAUGAUAGACUUCUAACUAGUAGAAAUUUAUUUUAGCUUAUAAUUAUUAAAGAUAUGAAUUUUGAACAAAUAAUUACUUAAUACAUUCUUCUAAGAUUAAAAAAAAUAGAUAUUCAUUCAAAAUCAAUAUAGUAUUGAAACUAGAAUGAUUAUUCUUAAAGAAAAAAAUACUAGAAAAUAUCAAAACAAGACUAAAGACUUGAAAGGUAUUGAUAAGAGUGAAGAAGGCUUCACUCUUACUUCUAUAUAUACUAUCUAACUAAGAGGUAUGUGGUGACAUUCUAUAGGAUCUCUAACAUGUAUUCAAUUUACAAAAUAAAUAUCAUAACUUGCAACAAAAGUUUUUUAUAUGUGCGCCAUAUGAUUAACUUGUAAUAUAAGUUAUCAAUAUGUGCAAUAUGUGGCUAAAUUAUUAGUGAAGUGUUCAAUCUAUGAAUCACCUAUAAACAUAUAUAAAGGUGAAACCAUGUCUAUGAAGCUUUUAAAAAGCUAUUUUGUAAGAUAUUAUCAAAUUAAUCUAUUUAAACUUAUUUUUUAUUUAAUUAUAUUAUCUAUGUAACUAUUGGAAUAGAUAUGUAUAUCUAUAAUAGAAAAAUUUGUGAUUCAAUUGAUUAUACCUUGCAAGCAUUGUUCUAAGACUUUAUUUGACAUACACAAUUUUGUUAUGUAUUUUUUAGUUAAAUUAAGGAAUAACCAUAAGAUUAUAUGUUGUGUCAAUAAGCACAACUAUAUUGAUACAAAUUGAGUGGAAAGUGGUUUAAGAAGCAAGUGGUUUCUAUACCAUCUAUAUAUGUUGAAAAUCAAUUAUUUUUUUGGUUUGAAAAUAAAACUCUUAUACAUUUGGCCUUUGUAGAUUAUUCAUAAUUUCAAAUAUUUCUUGUAAUGGCAUUGGUAUAGAAAUAGUAUUUAAAUCUCUUAUAUAGAAGUAUUUUGAUUUAGCUACAUAAACAAUAGUGGUGUAUGGAUCAUAAUACUCUUGGUUGCUGAAGAAUAUUGUGUUAUUAGGAAGCAUUAAUUAGUUACAAUAGAAACUAUACCACAUUGAGUUAAAUUUUCUUAUAGUAAUUUUAGGGUUCUAAAAGCACCAAAAAAUUAAGAAACGUUUAACAAAAAUGUGUCAAGGUUUGUUGGACUAAUAGUACUUAGCCAUCAUCCUUUGGCUAUUUAUAAUAUUUUGUUAUGCCAUAUUACAUAAUUCAUUGAUAUAAUAUAUAUCAACCAAUCUAGUGGCAAAUAUUUUGUAUAGAGUAUAAUCUUGAGGAUUGAAUAACUAAAAUAUUAGAAUAAUAUACUUAGUAGGAAGUAGUGGUUGAGUAUUAUAAACUAACUUAAAGGAAAUAGUCUCUAUUGCAUCUUUAUGUGCAAGUCUAUAAACUUGUUAUCAACUAAGUAAUUAAAAAUUAUACAAAUUUUAAGUCAAGGUGUACAAUUAAAUUAAUAUUUAUUAAAUUUUAAAAAUUACCAUAAUAUUUUUUUUAGAAUUUACUUAGAAUUUUUUUAAUAUUUAUUAAGGAUUUUAUUAUAAAUUUAUUAGAAUUUAGUUAAGAUUUUAUUUAAGCUUUUUUUUUUAGGAUUUAUUAAGACUUAUUUAGGAUUUUUUAUUAUUUUUUUAGGAUUUAUUAGAAUUUGAUUGGGAUUUACUAAGAAUUUUUAUUUUUAAUAUUUCUAAAAAAAUAUUUUUUAUUUCUUUAUUAUAUUUUUAUUUAUUUUGUAGGAUUUUUAUUUUUAAUAUUUUAUAAAUUCUUUUAUAAUUUCUUUAGAAAUUCUUUAAAAUUAUUAUUUUUUUUUUUAUAAUUUUUAUAUGAAUUCUAUUGAAUUUUAUUAAAAUUUGAUUAUAAUUAUUAAGUUUUAAUUAGAAUUUAUUUAAGAUUCUAUUAGAGUUUUAAAAAUUUUAUUAUUGCAAUUCCUAGUUUAUCUUCUAUAUCUAAGAGGUUGGUGCAUUCUCAAGCAAGACUUCACGUAAUUCGACAAUAUCCAUUACAAGGUAAAAAAAAAAAGGGUCUUUAAAAAGAUCUUGUUGCUCAUUUGACUUGAGAACAAUUUCAACUUACUUUGCAAUUGUCUUGGCAUGUGCAAAAUAGUCCAAAAAAAAAGUCCUUUUAGAUAAUCUAUAAGAAUAGAUAUAAGCCUACAAAUAUUUGAAGAAAGAAGUAAAGAGUCUAUUAUUUAAAAAAUAUUAUUCAUUCCAAAAAUAGAUAUAUAUAUAAAUUAUAGAAUUAUUGGCUAAUUUUUAGACUUUCUAUUUUAGUAUCGAAUAGUUUAUACUUUAUAUUUCAAAAAAUAUUAAUCUAAUCUACAUAUAUAAGUUUAUAUAAUUUAUUCAAAAAGAGGUUUUUAUUGAGUAUUAAUAUCUUAUAUUUGAAAAAACUAGCUUUGAUAAUAUGGUCUUUAAGGUAUAUUAUAUCUUGGAUUAUCUAUUUUGUAUCUAAAUCAUUUUUUGUAAUAAUAGGAUUAUUUCUAAAAUAUUAUCCAUUAAAAUUCUUUUUAAAUCUAAAAGAUAAAACUUCACCUUGAAUAGCUUCAUAUAGAUUUAGUUAUAUACCUAUCAGAAGGGUUGCUUGAAGUAGUAUAGAGAAUAUUAGUGGCUUUGGUAGUUGGCUUUAUAGUCAAGGCAUUAUAAUGCUUGGGAGAAAAAAUUAUUGAAGUACAAUAUUUAAAUAUCCCUAUGUUGAAUUUUUUAUGGUUAUUUACUUAAGAAAAAUUAGAUUAGAAUUAAAAUCCAAAUUAUACUAAAUUUCAAAUAUGAUCCAAAUAUAUUGCAAAAACCAUUAAUUAUACAAUCAAAGUGAAUGCUUUUAAAUAGUGCUAUGGUUGCUUAUUUUUCUAAUAAAAUUGACACUAAUUUAUAUGUGAAUAAGUUUAAUGGUGUGCUUGAUUCAUUCCCAUGAAGCUUCUUUACUUAUUUUUGUAAAGCAUCUUGACUCCAUGAAAAAUCUACAUAAUUGGUCUUUUAAUCUUAAAAGAAUUGAUUUAGAAAGUUAUAACUUUCUAUUUGAAUGGUAUUAAUAUAAACAAGAUGUAGAUUAUUAUAAUAUUAUGACUUACCAAAUUUGUAGGAAGAAAUUGAAUCCACUUUUAAAUUAAUUCUAUUUUACAACUUUCAUUUAUAUUGAUCUAAGUGUGCAUUCUAAGGUCAAUUAGUUCCUAUCAUAUAUGGUAUUUUUGAACCUCAGCUUUGUUGUAUAAUAAAAGUUCUUUUGGAUUUGUAAUACUAUCCAUAGAUUCAUUCCAAACUUAGUGAUGAGGGCUAGCUUGGAUAAGUUACAAACAACUUGGUGACUAUGGCAUUACCGAAUCUUAAAAACAAUGGAUAUUUAAAAUCCAUCCUUAUUAUAGGUACAGUGCAUUGUAACUUAAUCUUGCCUCAAUAUACUAUUUUAGCUAUGGUGAGGCUUUACAAAUGAUACUUUUGAAUCAUUCUUUUACUUCUUAUUGAGAUAUAGUACCAAAUAUCAUCCUUACAACACAAACUUCAUAAAAUCUUUAAUUUUACUAAUUUGAGCUAAAGAUAUUAUAAUAUUAUAUUGUGGCUUUGUUUUAAAUGAUUGCAAAAACUUAUGGCUAAUAGUAGUUUUGAGUUUUGAACUAGUCACAAUAUCUUUAAUUUUACUAAUUUGAGCCAUGGAUUUUACAAUAUUAUGUCGUGGCUUUGUCUUAAAUGAUUGCAAAAUCGUAUGGCUAAUAGUGGUUUUGAGUUGUGAACUGGUAUUGUAGAUUUCCUUGCAUCACUACUUUGAUGGCAAUCAUGCCUAUAUUUUAUGUCACCUAUUCUGCCAAUGUUUAGCUCAAAAGGCCAUUAAAAUUAGAUCACUUUCUAUUUCAACAUUGAACCUUAUUAUAUAUUAGAAGCAAGGCAAGAAAUAAACAAAGUUGACCAUUGAAGUUAAUUGCAAUUUUCUAAGACAUUUGAUGAAUGACAAUAGAGUAUAUUCACAAAUAUAUUUUCAUCAAAUAUAUACAUAUAUAGAUGUUAUUUAUUUGUAAUAUUAAAAUUUCAAAUAUUUAAUAAGGUUAUGAAUCAAUAUAAAUAAAAAAUAUUAGAUUUUUAAUUUUAUUUUUUUCUCAAAAUAAAAAAUAAAGAUCAUCAACAUAUCAAUUGUCUUAUUUACUUAUUUUCAAGUUGUUUACUACUACAAAUUUGAAGAAAAUACAUAUAUAUGUUUGUAUCUAUAUAUAUAUAUAUAUAUAUAUAUACAUAUAGUUAUAUAAAUUUCAAGAAUGGCUGAUGAUAAAUAGCAAUGUUUUGAUCAUAUAUGUUUUAAAAAUUUUCACUACAGAUUAUGUAUUGGAGGUUGCAUUUGAGGACUUUUUUAUUGUUAAAUUGGCACUUAUAGUGUUCUCCAUUCUUAAGUUUGCUUAUCAAAUUGUGCUCAAAAUCUCCAAGUCAGAUGUAACUUCUAUAAGUUUAUCCUCCCUGACAAAAACUGUCCUACUCAUUAAUGUUUGAUUUUAAUUUCUAACUACUGUGCUCCAUAAGUGACAAGAUCAAUACACAUUUCUCAAAUACUUUGUUCAUUUCAGGUCAUUAUUUCUGGUUACUAGUUCUAAAACUUAGAUUCUUCAUUGUUUUUUUUGAUAAUUAAGUUUGAGUGUAUAAUAAUUGCACAAAUUGUAUAUCAUUCAUCCAUGAGAAAUUCUUCCAUUGAAAAAUUUCAUGUGUAGGCUAAGUUCUGUUGAUGAUAUGCAAUAGAAAUAUAAAUACAAAUACAUUGGAUAUGGUUCUUUAAGACACAUGCAACGUAAAUUCUAACUUUUAAUUACUUGAAUCAUAACAUGCUUCAAUUGUAAUCUUCUAUUGCAAUUCCAAAUGAAUUGUUUUAAGUUUGUUUUUGUUCUAAAUGAUUGUCAUAUUUAUUUUUUCAAAAUUAAGCAUAUUUUUACAAUUUUUUUUAAAAAAUAGACAAUGUAUUGAAAAAAUCAAUAAUGUAUGUUUAAAAUCUUUAAUGAAUUUUUAGUAAAAAUAUAAGGUUGCAUGCAAGUACAAUUUUAAUCAUAAACUUGGCUUUCCAACUAUUAUAAUUGGUGAUUUUGGAUACAUAUAUAAGUUGCCAAUGGCCCUUGCUAGAUUUUUAACCUAUUUUUUGGAAAAGUUCAUAUAUAUAUAUAUAUAUAUAUAUAUAUUUAGAAAAAAGUUUCAAAAGAUCAAAAAAAGUUAUUUAACAAAACUAGAUAAUGUAUGGCUAUUUAUCAAAAUAUCAGCCAUCAAAAUUGAAUAAAACUAAUUAUUAAUUAAUUUAAAUUAUAUAUAAAUAAAUUCUUCAAUAACUGGAUUGAAAGUUAAGAGAAUAUAAAUAAUGAUACAAUUUCUAAUCUAAAAAUUUCAUCAAAUCAUAUAGAAACUUUUAAUUAUUACAAGAGUAUUUUUUAUUCAUAUUCAUGUUGAAAAACAUGCUGGUUUGGCCAUACUUCAAUACCAAUGAAUAAAACAUGUAUUUUAUUUAUUAUUUUAUACUUUAAUAAAAAUUUAUUUUGAGGAAUAUUAAAUGAUUUUUAUUUCUUCAAAGAAUAAAUUGAGAUCAUAAUUGGUGAAUUUGAUAAAUGAUUUAAUUUUGGUUUUUCUAUUUUUAAAUUUUAUAUACCAUAAAAUUUGAGUUAAUUAGAGAGCAAUGAAAUACAUAAAUUUAGAAUACUUGGUUUGAAAUUCACUAAAAUAGAUCAAGUUUACUAAUAAUUUUAUCAAUUAUUAUCAUACAUACAAAACAGGGGACACAAAGUAUAUAUCUUCAAAUGCUCAAAUAAAAUAUUAGUCUGCAAAAGCGUAAGGUAAAUUAUAGAAUACUAUGAAACAAUAUUAAACAUAAAAUUUACCUCUAAAUUUGUAGAUUUUUACUUUACUUUGAGAUGAAAUUGUUUCAUAAGAAAAUAUUUUCCUUUACUUACACAAGAUAUUCAUUUGGAAACCAGUACAUAUACUGUGUUUUCUAUCACAGUUUGAAAAUCACUUGUGAAUUCCUAUUAGUUUUAUUAUUUGAUUGAUAAUGUAAACUAAAUUCCUCAUGUCUUAUGUUUUGAUUUUGGUAAAUUCUUCAUUUCUUAUAAUUUGAUUUUGGUGUAUUAAUCCUGUCUCUAUUCUUUAUUAAAUUUGUAUAAUUUCAUAUUCAUAUAUAUAUAUAUAUAUAUAUACAUAUACUUAUGUGAAACAUUUGUUCAUUUUACCUCUUAUUUAUAUCCCAGAUUUCAAAACCAAUUCAACUUAUUACACAUACAAUACAUGUUAUAUUAAAAUGCUCUAAAUAAUCAAAAAGAUUUAUCAGAAAAGGAUUUGUCUAUUGGCUGGAUAUUAAACCACAAAUAAUCCCAAUAAUAUUUUUUUCUAUCUAUUUUAUAAUUUUACAUCCAAUAAUGAAAAACAUAUAUGUUUCAAACAAAAUCCCUAAUGUAGAUUUUUAAAUCACCAAAAUUUUAUAUAACUUAUUUGUAAAAAAUAUAAUACAAAGUGAUAUGCUAUUAACUAAAACUAUAAUAGUGCUACCUUAUCAAUCAAUUCAAUGUGUUAUCCAAUGUAUAUUAGGUGUGAUAAAUCCAUCUAACAAAUAUAUAUAUCAUCUUCUCCAUUCUCUUAAUCAAAACUAUUUUUUAUUAUCAUAUUUUUAUUUGAAAUUGCUUCCUCUAAUUUCAGAAGAAUGGAAGCUUUACAAUCAAGAUCCAUUUGAAGCAAUCUAAAGUGAGGUACGAAAGCAAGGCUACAAGGCAAUUGAGAGAGUGAUUCACAAUCCAAUACAUUCAGUUCUACAAAAUUAGAAAAGCUCUCAAAGCUUACAUGCUCAUACUCCAAAUUUUUGAAGUUGUCUCAACCAUCUAGUCUUAAGGUUUGUAAGUUCUUCAAUUUUGCAAAUGAAUGUGGAAUAGCAUCAAGCUCCCCCCAAUGACUGUAAACCAACCUAUUUAAGACAUGGCAUUGCACCAUCCUCCAAUUCUGGCAAACAUGCAAGUCUUGCUCAUUCUCCUAAGUUGAAAUCCACAAUAGCUCCAAAACCACCUUUUCUACCAAAAGAAGUUGGUAGAACCUCCAAAACAUCAAAAUUCAUGAUACACAAACUCACCAAGUUUGGAAGACGAUCUAGAGCUGAAAGUACGACCAACGUUAGACAUGCUAUAUUUAGGGUUUUCAGAAGUGAGAGGGAAUACAAAGAGUCUGGAAGAGAAAAUCAAUCCCUCACAUUUAAGCCAAAGGCAUUCCAAGUGCUGAACAUUUGGGAAGUCCCUCCCAAAGGCCUGUUCUCCACAAAUACUCACUUCCAUAAAUAUACAGAAUUUGCAACCUGGUGAGGUGAAUCAAAUUGGAAGAUAAGUAACUGAGACGCAGACACCAAUCAAGAUACAACUCCUCCAUGCCGGUAAACUUCCCGAUUGACUUUAGGAGUGUCUCUUACCCGUCCAAGACAAAUUGAGUAGUGACGGAGAUUUUAGGUCUCCCACACUCUCCGGCAGCACCUUCAUACAAGUCCCCCUCUGAUCCAGAACGCGGAUGUUACGAAGGUUGUUGAAGAAUUUCUUCGGAAUACACUCCAAUAGAUUUUCUUGUAACAGAAGAACCUCCAGCUCCGGGGCAUCCAGUUUGGCAGGUAGCUCCUUCAGAUUUGUCGACAUGACAGACAACCUCCGAGCGGAAAGUCUAGUCCUCCUGCCUCUGCCUGGAUCCUUGGUAUCAGAACAUCUUCUCCAUUCACGAGGCAAUCCAUCCCUCAUGUCCCGCCCUGCCUCAUACAGGCACUCUCGCUCGGUGACGGCUUUCUCAUGCUGCACUAUGUGGCGCUCCAGGUCCCGAAGAAUAUCGUGCACCAUGCAGUACAAUUCACCAUUUUCAUAGCUUUUGAGCUCAAUCAGCGAGCGGGAGACCAGCACCCCCACCAGCCCACAUGCUUCUAGCUUCGGAGCAUACAACUGACCCACAAUCCCUUCCGCUCUCCACAACGGCAGCAAAUCCUCGUUUACGUCGACUUCCCAAUCCUCUGGAAAUGCAGCGAGUACACAAAGCAAUCCUGCAAUCUUCGAUCGAUACUUCCAAGCUUUUCCAGCUCCGGGGGGACAUGAGAGGUCCCUCGAAACGCUUGCCAGCAGAACAACUUCCAGCUGUUCUCUUCAUCUAGCAACACGACUGCGAGCUUCGUCACAUGAUUUUUGUCCAACACCUCCUCUAUGAGAGUGGUGACGAGGAUUUUGCACCCCGCUCUUAAGGGGACCAAAGAUGUCACCAAGCGUAGCAAAUCUUCUUUCCAAACAACGUCCUGAAUAACCAGCAUGUUCUUCUUAUCCUUGAGCUCAUUACGUAGCUAUGCUAUCAUAUCUUUCAUGGGAAUUUUCCCGCCAACCUCUGAGGGACCAGUGAUCUUCAUUCCGAAGCCUAGGAAGAGACUCCGCACUGACAAAUCUCCACCGACAAAUCUCCAGCUCCUUCUCGUGCUUGUGGUCGUUCCAUUCUGGAAGCGCCACCUCCUCCAACAUCACCAACAAAUGUUUUUCCAGCACUGGUUGCAGAACGGUUAAUGCCAGAGCUUCCGCCAUUUGUAGAUGGGGCACCGUCUCAGAACUCGAUGUUGUAGAUGAAGUGUUCGAAGUAAACGAAUAAAAAUAAUCGGUGCAAUACCAAUGUCAACAGCCAGGCAAGACAAUAUUAUGUGCCACUGGAAACCUCUCGUAAGCGAUAAUGAGUCGGAUCUGCGUUUGAAAGGCCGAUCAAAUGAGUAAUUGGAACCUGAGUUGUACAUGAACAGAGAAUAUCAAAGGCGAGCUCGCGACAUCACACAUGCCCCAGCGGCAUCGAAGUGGAGGUCUGACCAGGGCAAGUUGCGGACAACUUGGUGACUAUGGCACUGCAAAGCCCAAAGAACGGUCUGCAUUUAAAACCCAUCCUCGCUGAAGUAACGUUGCAUUGUGACCUGGUCCUGCCUAAGAAUGGGACUCCAGCCAUGGCGGGGCCUUGCAAAGAGUGCUUUUGAAUCAUUCUUUCACCUCUUUCUGAGUUAUCGCAGCAGAUAUCCUCCUUACAACAUCGACCUCACAUCAUCGUCAACAGUGCUGAUGCUUUCUAUGUACUUUGCAGAAUUGUGUUGUUGCUUGGUGUCAAGUGACUGCAAAAUCUCAUGGGUACUGGUCGUUUUGAGUUGUGAGCUGGUGUUGGAGAUUUCCUUGCAACAGUGAUUCGACGGUGUUCGUGACUGCGGUUUUCGUCACAGGGUCCGCUAAUGAUUAGAUAAGAAGGUCAUUAAAAUUAGAUCAGAAGGUCAUUAAAAUUAGAUCAUUUUCUACUUCACCAAUGAACCUUGUGACAAGCAAGGCACGGUAUAAGCAAAGUUGACCAUUGAAGCCAUUCACAGUUUUGUAACAAGUUUGGUGAAUGAGAAUAGAGCAUACCAGCUAAUAUAUUUUCAUCAAACAUAUACAAAUACAGAUAUUUUCUAUUUGAAGCAUUCAAAUCUCAAACACAUUACAAGACUAAGAAUUGUUUUGAGUGAAAAUUAGACAUACACUUGUUCUUUGUUUUAGUAUAUUGUGUUAAAAAGAAGCGGAUAAAGAUCUCAAAUAUACCAAUAAUCUAGUUUACUUAUUUUCAAGUUGUGUACUACUGCAAAUUUAAGGAAUAUACAUAUAUAUAUAUAUAUAUAUAUAUAGAUAGAUAUAUUACAAAGUGCAUACACAUGUGAAGUAUAAACAAUAUAUUUAUGACUAAAGUAUCAGACUUGAAUAUUUAUAAAGAAAAUUUGCCACCACAAAUAUAACAUAAAGAAGGAUUAGACUUGUUGGGUUAUUUGCUUCAAUAUUGAAACCAUAAAGUGGAAUAAAUAUGACAUGAGGUACAAAAAGGCAAGAAAUGAACAAGAUGGUGUCAUGUGGUAACACGACUAUAUAGUGAAAAAUAAAAAAUAUGGAUGUUAUUAUAGAAGUUCCUAGCAAAAAGAUGUAGUAGAAAAAUAAGGAUAAAUGAUAGAAAGGUAAAAAUAUAUUUAAUCUUAAUCUUGGUGUUUUAUAGAAGGAACUUGUUUUUACUUUAUAGAGGCAUAAAUGACCCAAAUCAAAGUAAAUGAGAUAAGAAAUUAAUAUAGGCAUGUUGAGGAGAGAAUUAACAAUAGGAUAAAGUAAAACUUACCUCAAAUUACUAAAAAUUGACACUCAGAGAAGACUAGUUGUCAACUUAGAUUAAAAUCAGAUCCUAAGGCAUAUAACUACAUCUACAUAGUAACUUUGAGAUUCUUUUAUAGAUUAGAAAGUGAGAUUUGAGAGGAGACUUGAAAAUAGAUUUUUAUGCAUUGCUUUUAUAUUAAUUGAAUUAAUAUUGAAUUUUUGAAGAAUUUUCAAAGUUAGUGAUAUUCUCAGUUGAUUUAGAUUUUAAAAACUAAAAAUAGAUUUAUAAAUUUGAGAAUUUUUUGAAUUUUAUAGUGUAUGUAUAAGUAAAAUUUUAGGCAAUACAUUAUGCUAAUUGUGAAUGUAUAUGAAAAUUUUGAUAUCAAUCAAAUAGUUAGAUUGAAGUGUGUGAAGGUUUUUGUGGGUUGAAAUUUCAAAAAUUAAAGUUUGAGCAUCUAUGAAUAUUUAUAAGAUUUCAAUGAUCUAUCAAUUGGAUUGUAGUGAAUUGUUUUAGAUACAAGACUCAAUUUUCAAUGUUUAAGUGAAAUUUGAGAGUAAUUCAAUAGUUCAAGAAGGAGGUAUUAGUGAUAGAAGUUAAGCAUUUAAGUUAGAAUAAGAGGCCACCUAAUACUCAAUUGGAUUAUCUUUUAUUUCUCUCAAUUGGUAAGUGCAAUUGAUUUCAUCUUUCUUGUACUUGUUUUUAACCAAGAUAUUAAAAAGUAUGCAAAUUUUGAGUUGAUAUCAAUAGUUUGAUCAUUAAUUGUUGAAAUUCCAUUUUGCUAUAGAAUUUGGUUUAGGAUUUAUCUGCAAUUUGGUUAGAACUUAGGAUUUGGUCUAGGCUUUGGUUAGAAUUAAGGUUUACUUGGGAUUUGAUUUAGAACUUGACUAAGGUUUGAUUAGGAUUUGUCUAAGAUUUUUCUAGGAUUUCAGAUUUCAUUAGGAUGUUAUAAGAAUUUAAUCUAAGAUUUGAUUAAGAUUUAAUUAAAGUUUCAAUUAAAUUUGAUUAAGUUUCAAUUGAUUUUUCUAUUUAUAGUAUUUAAAAUGAUUCUUUGUUAUUUCUUUAAGUUUUAUUUCUUAUAUUUUUUUAAGUUUAUUUUUAUUUUUUUAAAGGUUUAUUUUUUAUAUUUCUUCAAGAAUUCUUAUUAUUUUUGUUUGAGAUUAGGUUAGGGCUUUUUUGUACUUCUUUUAUAACUUCUUUUAAAUUUAUUUUGGAUUGGUCAAAGUUUAAUCAAGAUUAUUAAGGUCUAUCUAUUCUUAUUUAAGAUUCUAUUAGACUAGAUAAGAUUAUUCUUACAUUUCUACUUACUUUUCACAACUAGGUAUUCAAUGCAUUCUUAAGAAAGAACAUAUAUAAUACAAUAAUAGGCCUAUACCAAUGUUCUAUUGUAGUUUGGCUACUAUGUGAAAAUAAUGCUCAAUUAACUAAUAUACAAUUUAUUAUACAAUGUAGUGAGAACUUUAUUAUUAGAUUUUAAUUAGUUAUAAAAUGUGAUUAGAAUGUUAAUUUGAAGUAGUUAGUCUAACAUGACUACUAUUGAGGUCGAUUUUAUAUUUAUAAUAGUUUUUUUUUUUUUUAAUUAGAGCUAUCUUUAUUAGACAUUGGUAAUUCUCAAAAUCUUGUUUUAUUUCUUUUAUUUAGUAUUCAAGGCACAUAUUAUGUAAAACUUAUUAAAAAAAAGAUUAGACAAGGAUUUUUGUAUUAAAAGUGAUAGUUAGGCCAUCCAUAUGGAUGAAUGGGGAUAUAUAAUAAAAAUCUCCAUUCUUAUUUGCCAAACGUCAUGCCCAAUGGACUUCAAGGAUGCUACUUGAGAUCUUAUUAUAUUAAUUAAAUAUAAAUCUUAUAUGAAAAGAGAUUGAAGAAGGAUUUUGGUAGCAAAAAAGGUAGUUAGGGCAUCCAUAUGAAUGAAUGGAGAUGGAUGAUAUAAAUCUCCAUUCCUAUUAGUCAAAAAUCAUAACCAAUGGGCUUCAAGGAGGUUGCUCGAGGCCAUAUUAGGAAUUAGGAUUAGUCUUUCAAGGGGAUUUGAACAUCAAAGUCUAGGAUUGGUAAAUUUAGGUUUUUGGCUAUAGUUUUGGUUCAAAUUUUGAGUCAUUUGGAGUUUCUAUGAAGGAGGUAUAGGCGCUUAAAAUCAAGAUGUCAAUUUUGUACUUAUUGUCACUCUUUUGGAUAUAACGCAUGCAUAUCGAAUGCAAUUAAGGAUCGGUGACUAGGAUUGAUGAGAGCACUUUUUCAACUAUACUUCAUGCAUACUACUUAAUGAAUUCUAAGCUAGAAUAUAGGAGAUAUUAAAAGUUGAAGUCAGCACUUAGAAUCUAAGAAGGAGUAAGUGACGUGAAUUACUAGUGGUUGUGGUUUAAGCUAUAUCUUGUGCAAUUUGAGAAGAUUUUAGCUCAAAAUUUUCUUAAAUUUAUAUUUUCAUGUUACUAAAUUUUAUACAUAAGAUUUUUGAUAUUUUAAUUUUAAAUUUGUGAGAUAUAAAGAAAAUAGUAUUUAGGUGUUUGUCAAUUAGGAUUUUAGAGCACUUCCUAGGGGUUUUCAGUUGCCAGAAGAUCAUUAGUGAAUUUAUAGUUAAUUUUUUUUGAAGUAAAGCUUAAGAAUAAAUUCUAUAAUAUCUAUAAAUUUGACAAAAAUAAAAUAGUUGGAUCAAGAGAUAUGAAUUUUUGAAGUUUGGGAAGAAAAAAUUCUUUGCAAAAAUAUUAUAUUUUGAAGAGAUUUUAUUAUAAUUUGAAUAUUUUAUACAUAGUAAUGAGAUUUUUGGAAGUCAAGACUUUAUUUAUUUUUCCAAGAUAAUUUGCUAUAAUAUUUUUGAAGUGAGAUCCUCAAAACAUGAUAUUUUCUUCACCCUUUCAUUUGUUAGCCGUGUUACAUCACGACAUCCACCCCCCUUGAACCUAUGCAUCCUCUGAUAUGCACCAAGUUCCUUCAUUAUAUUGAUAUUGAAUGUUCUUUAUCUUGGUCAAAUUCUUGAUCUUUAUUUUGCUCUUUUUCUUCCAUCUCAAUAUCUCCUAAUAGAUUUUGUUCUUCAUCAAAACAAAUGUCUUUACCUCUUUGAUUAAACAAUUUGAUUUGCUUGCCUACUAUUGGUAUCUUUAAAUCUGUACCAUCCAGUUCUCAUAAUAAGUAUGUUCCAUUCUCGUGCACUUGUUUGACAACAUAAGGUCCAAACCAUCUCCUUGUAAAUUUCUUUGUCGUACUAUGUUGGUUGUCCAAACUACUAUCAUAAACCAACACCCAAUCACCGUUUUAAAUUGGUUUUGGACGCAAUCGAUGUUUUUUGUCAAACCUCUCCUUGUUUUUUUCUCUCGCUUCUUUCAACUUUCUCAUAGCUACUUCAAUAUCCUUGGGCCUUCUUUCAAGUUGUCAAAUUCGUAAUGCGAAUAACUCUUCUCUUGUUAAACUAUCUUUUCAAAGUAAUAUAGCCUAUGUUGAUACAACUUCCUCUAUCGGCAUUACCGAUUUUUGACCAUACAUCAAUUCUGCUGGCAUGUAUCAUAUAAUUGUACUAUGAGUUGUGCAAUCCGUCGAUAAUGCAAAUGGUAAUAAUUUAGGCCAAUCACUUAUCUUGCCUUUGCAUGCUUUAACCAAUGCUUUAAUAAUCGGAGAAUGUCCACGUUCACUCUUGCCAUUCCCUUCCGGAUUAUAUGUUGUUUUUAAUGCAAGUUUAAUAUCCAUCCUCUCAAAGAACUCUCGUGCUUCAUUUGCAUCCAAUUCUCCUCUAUCUGCAGUGAUUUUUCCAAUACAUCCAUACCGGCAAAUAAUUUCUUCUAAUAUAAACCGACAUACUCCUUCCGUAGUCUUUGUUGAAAGUGUUCUUCCCUCUAUUUGAUUUGUCAAAUCUUCCCGAGCAAGUACCAAAUAUUUUCUCUGACCAAAUCCCAUUGGCAUUACAACUAAAUCAACCACCCAUUUAUAAAGAAUUACUAAUGGAUAUGUAAGAUGCAAACCAUCUCAAUGAUGAAUAUUUGAAUAUAUUUGGCAAGUUUCACAAGAUCCUACAAAAUCUGCCACAUCUCUGUACAUGCCCUUCUACCAAUAUUUUUCUUUCAACUUAAUAAAUGUUGCCUAAAUACCUCAAUGCCCUACCCAUAAACUUUUAUGAAAUUUCUUAAUAAUCUUUUGUUGAGCUUCUAAACCACAUAUCACUCGUUGUGGUACUUCUCCUCUCUUCUUUGGAUGCUUCCAUAAAUAUUCAUUCCGUAAAAAAUACCCAUAGGCUUUCUUUUGGAUUUUCUUAAAUUCUUGAUCUAUCCAACCAUCUUGUCGCUUUAAUGUGCUUAAAUACUCCCCAAUGUCUUUCCAUUCUUUUUCAUAUAGAUCUCUUGAAAAUAUUUCUAAUGGUAUAUUCAAAUAUAUACUUUCUUCCUUUGAUAAUGCAUUAGUAUAAAAAUUUGUACCCACAUCAUCUUCUAAAUCUAUCAUAUCUUCUUCAUCGUAAUACCUUGCUCUUGAUAACAUAUCUGCGACUGAAUUUUCUUUUCCUAUAAUAUGUUUAAAUUCCAAAUUUAUAGAUUUGAUAUAUGCCAUCCACCUUAACAUAGCAAUAUCAGGAGUUAAACAACUUGUAAUCAUACCCAAUAAAGGUAGACAAUCUAUUUCUACAACUACUGAUGCAUCAAUCAAAUACUCCCUUUCAUUUUUCAUAGCUAUUACUACACCAUAUAAUUCUCUUUUGAUUUGUGCAUAUAUCCUUUGUCUAGCAUUCAAAACCUUUGUUCCAAACCUUACUACAUAUCUAUUCUCUUGUUCAUUAUCUUGUCUAAUUGUCCAACCUAUUCCAAUUGGACUUGCAUCAACUGUUAAUAUUACUAGCCUUCCACAUUCAUAAUUUACUUUCUUCAAAGUUGGAGGUGAAGAAAGAAAUUCUUUUAACUUUGCCAUAUCUUUUCUUUGUUCUUCUUUCCAUUGAAAUUUUUGAUUCUUUCGUAACAACUCAUAUAAUGGAUCUGCUAUAUAUGCAAAAUGAGAUAUCCAUAUAUGAUAGAAAAUACAUGCUCCUAAAAACCUAAUGACUUCCAUCGUAUUUGCACACUCUUUCAAUUUUUUUAUAAUAUCAACUUUUUUCCUACUUGGUUUGCAUCCAUAUAAACCACACAUGUGCCCUACUACCAAAACUUCUUUUAUUCCAAAUAUUGAUUUUGUUCCCAAUAAGGUUAAAUGAACUUCUUCUAGUCUCAUCAAAAUCUUCUCACAAUCAUCAAUAUGAUCUAUCACAAACUUCCUACAUCCCUUUGAAUCAAAUGUCUCAUCCUUUCUUUUUUCUUCAUAUCCUUUAAUUGGCACAUCAUCUAGAAAAGAUAUUGUUAUUCUUGAAAUAAAAUCUUUUAGCAUCUUAUGUAUUCCAUUCAUCAUGUGUGCCACAAAAUUUGUAGCCCCUUGUAGUAAUGUACACAUUCUGACCAAUCCCAAUGGUGUCUUUAUAAUUGUCAAAUCUCUACUUUGUAUUACCAAUUGAAAUUGAUCGUUUCCUGAAUAAAGAUCUCCUAUAGAAUAAAUUGAUCUCCCUGCAAAUGCCUCUGCAAACUCAUCCACAAUUGGACUUGAGCCCAUAUUUUUAAUAGUUAUUUUAUUUACCAGUUGCAUAUCUUGAAUAAACCUCAAUGUUCUAUUUUUCUUAGAUACUGUGAACUACCGAUUGGAAUAUGGUACAAUAGAUGGUUCUAAAAUUUCCAUCUUAAUUUUUUCAUUGAGUAAUUCAACUAGCUUUGGCAAAUGGGCCUUUGGAACUGGAAUUGGCUUCAAGUUCCAUGGUUCAUGCGGAAUUAUAAAAAUAACCAUAGGUGCUAUAAUACUCGGAUCAAUGCACCAUAUUUCAUGUGAUUCAAAUGCAAAUGCUUUACUAUGUCAUGAAAAUAUUUCUUUAAAACAUCUCUCCUCAUCUCUUGUCAAAAAUUUAUCACAGCCAAUUUUCAAACCAUCUAACGUUAAAUAAUCCUUGAAUUCAUGACCUAUUUUCUUUCGAUCUCUUAAGUUAGGUUGCAUAGAAGCUCUUUUAAUCCUUUCUUCAAAAUCCGUUGGUAGUGGCAAUGUCACUAGUUUAACCUUUCUUGCAAUAGUCUUAUAUUUUGUGUUCACUUUCACUUCAUAUCUAUCCAUAUAUUCUUUUAUUCUAUCAUAAAAUUUCUUAGAAUGGAUAUUUAUUAUUUUAUCACCUCUUUCAAAAUCUCUAUUCAAUAAUAUUUAUAAAUCAUCCAUAGUAUCACUAAAAUAAGAUUCUUCAAACAUCCUUGAUAUGUAUUCAUCUUCAUCAAUCAUUCUACAUUUUUUUAAUCCCUGUUCUACAUUCUUAACAUUUCUCUUAUCUAUCCUACUAAAAUUAUUUAUGUUUUUGAAUAAAAUAUAUCCGUCUCGUGAUAAUCCUACAAUAUCUUCAUCCUUUCUAUUAGGCAGGAAGCCUUCACUCUUUUUACCAUUGCAAUCUCACUUUAUAAUGGCGUCUAGUAAAAAUCCUUUGAGUCUUCAAGAUCUUCAAAUUCUUUAUGUAUCUUUGGAAAAGGAUGUUCUCUCAAACUAUCCUUAUUUCUUCCAUGAUUUGUACAAACUGUUAAAAAUUGCACUGCCCUCUUUCCAUCUUGACUUCUUAUCCUUACAUAAUCUGAUCCAUCAUCCAUAACCUUUGUCUCCAUUCAUGUAGUAGUAAUAUUUGGUUGUCCUAAUAUAAUAGGAUAUGUAGACAUAUCUUGCACAAAGAAAUUUUGUUCAUGAAUAACAUCUUCUAUUGUAACCUUGAUAUUUGGACAAGCUCCAUACAAAUUUCCUUUUGAAUUAUUUGUUGUUCUUAUCACCUACCCAAGCUCAAUAUCAAUAGGCCAAUUUCUCCUUUUAUAUAAUUCUGUUAACAUUAAAUAUAUUUCAGAACCAUGAUCAAUCAAUGCUACAAUUGGUUUUUCAAAAUCUCCCAAUUUUACUAAAGUUUCCGUAGUAGCCCUUGCCCAAUGACUCUGAGAAUAAUGACUAGAAGCUUGAAUCAUAUCUUCUUUUCCUAUAAAUUUGACUCGUGAAACAUUUCCAAUAAUUUGUAUUUUAAUUUCUUCAUCUUCAUUGCUUCCUAUUGCCUUUGUACCUUAUGCAUUUGAUGUCAUAGUAUUAUCAAUAGAUUGUCAUUUUUUUUUAUUGUAUCAAUAAUAACUUCAUAAAAUUCUUGUUUUACAAUUCCUAGAAUUUCACCAAUUGUAAAUUCAACAUUUCUACUUAAAAUCCACUCCUCCAAUACUAUCUUCAAAUCUGUAGCAGCUUCAAUAUCUAAUUGUAAUUUAUAAGCAGGAAUCUUUGCUUUUUCUUUCACAAUCUCCCUCUCCUAUGUAGAAAUAUUCUCUAUUGUCUCUUCAUGCAUAGGAUUCUUCUGUUGUCGAGUUUUAUCUCUCCUUGUGAUUCUUUUUGAUGGCCCUUUAUGAUUUUCGUCUUUCUUUCAUUUUUCUUCUAUUAAUGCUUCAUGUUGACUCCUUGCAAUAUGAGCAUGAACUGAUAAUCUAUCUACUUGAUCAUCUUAUCUAGUAAUUUACUGAAUAUUAUUGCCAACAUAUUUUAGAUCAUCUCUAGUAAAAUUUUUCUUUUUAGCAUAAUUCAUUGUACUUGACCAUAAAGAAAUAGAUUCUCUUGAAUACUCAAGAUUUAUACUUAAGAAUUUGCUUGGAUUUGCCUCCAUCCAAAAUAUUGAUGCUUCAUUUCUUGAAGUUGUAUGCACCUUGGAAGCAUCUCCUACAAACACCUUCAUUCUCCAUUUACCAAAAAUUUUCUCUAAUUUUUCUCUACUCUCUUUUAAGUAUAUCAUACCAUCUUUAAAAAAAACAACUCCUUUACGUAGUGCCUCUAAAAAAUCCUCACACUCCGUUCUUGAAUGAUCUAUGCUAUCACACCACAUGCACCUAUGCACCAUACCUUCUAUUGGUCUUAAAUUUUGUCUUGUUGAUAUUCUUGAUGAUUGAUCCAUCUCUUCAAGUUUUAUAAAUUUAUUUGCAAAUCUCUCAUCUUUUGUAUGAUUUCAUCAAUAUCCAUUUCUUCUCUCUUUGAUGUAGCCAUUGAAAGUUGAAUCGUAGAUGUAGGAUAGAUAGCAGGCAUUUUUCUUUUAGAUGUUUGCAAUGGUCUUUGAAUUUCCAUCCUAUCUUUUCUCCUUUCUCUUUUUGCAAGCACCUCAAUUGUCUCUUCUACUUUCUCCCAAUUUUUUGUCAAUCCUUCAACUUCUUCUUUAUCUUCCAAUAAAAUUUCCAACUUCUCUUGCAACUCUCUAUUAGCCACUUGAAGGAAAAGUUCCACUUUACUUGGAUCUAAUAAUUACCUCUCUUUCUUAGAUAAAUAAGAAUAUUAUUUUUCAAACUCCCUUAGUAACUCCGUUGCUAGUAGAUCCUUCUUAGGCCUUUCAAUCCAUUCAAAAAAUGACUUUUUUAUAACUCGGUCACUAUCUUCUAAAAAAUGUUCAUCCUUUAAUGCUUGAAAUAAUUUUUCCCAUGAACCUCCGGAAUGUCUUAUAAUGGACUUCACAUGAUUUCUUAUUUCUAUUGUAGUAGCUAAUUCAAAUAGCUGAACUAUCUCCUUCUCUGAAAGACACUUUAAUUCCAUUUCCUUUACGUAACACCUUAAAUAUUUUGUAAUAUCCUUCCCUUCAAAUUGAUCAAUCUUGUCUACAACAGCUUGUAAUGCUUUGUCUGCCAUGCCCUCUUUGCGAUCCUUAACCUGUCAUUGUUGCAUAAAUAAGGCUAAUGCCUCAAACAUGCUUGCACAGUUGGGAUCAAAAUAUAUACCUUGUCUUUCAAUUGAAGCUCUACUUCCAACUCCACUUGAAGCACCACCAAAAGCUCUUCCUUCCAUUCUCUUGCCUUCCUUCUCCAUAAUCCAAAUAGAUCAAAGAAACUCCAAAUACCUCCCAUCUCAAGUUUUUCACAUCGGGUUCACCAAAUAUGUUGUAUUACGUGAAGUCUUGCUUGAGAAUGCACCGAGCACCUGCCUAUGGAAGGUAAAAGAAAAUUACAACAAAAUGUCCUAAAAAUCCAAUAGGAUUAUAGAAAAUUUAUAAUUAAAUGUUAACAAUCAUAAUCAAAUAUUAAGCAAGCUCAAUUAAAUUUUAUUGAAGUUAUAAAAGAAACACAAGGAAAUCCUAAAGAAAAAUAAAAGAAUAUUAAAGAAAAUUUAGUCAAACCUUAACAAAAAUCUAAUAGAAUCUUAAAUUCUAACCAAACCCUAAUCUUAAUCUAACCUUAAUCAAAUCCUAGACAAACCCUAAACCCUAAACUAAAUCCUAAUCAAACCUUCAUCAAAUCUUAAACCUUAAAUCAAUUCCUAAUCAAAUCCUAAAUCAAAUCCUAAAUCCUAAUCCAAAUCCUAAACCAAAUCCUAAACCAAAUCCUAAAUCAAAUCCUAAACCAUACCCUAAUCCUAAAAAAUUCUAAACCCUAAAUCAAAUCCUAAUCAAACCCUAACCCUAAAUCCUUAUCAAAUCCUAACUCAAAUCAAAUCCUAAUCAUAAAUUUGAAAAUUAAAUAACUAAAGAUUGAACCGUUGAUUCUAAUUCAAAAUUUUCAUACUUCUUGGAGUUUAAGUUUGAAACUAGUACACAAAUUUUGAAGAAAAUUGCACUCACCAAUUAGUCGAUGAUCUCAAAAUUCCGCUCGGAUGUCGGCUGGUCUCUCCUUCUCCAAUCUUGAUGCCAACUUCCAGUGCUGAUAUCUUUCUUUUCUACCAUUCAAUUGUUUCCAAAUUUUAUUUUCACAUAGAAAAUCAAGUCUUCUACUGAUAAAACCAAAAAUCUCUCCAAUCCAAUUGGCAGAUUGCUAGAUAUCUAAGAAAACCUUACUGGUCCUCAAAAUCCUAAAUCCCGAGACCUUAGCCCACAAAAAUCUUCAUAUGUAUCGAUUUAGCCAUUCGAUUGACUUCAAAUCUCUUACACACAUUCACAAAAAGCAUACCAAUACGUCCCUAAAUUUUCACCUAUAGAAAUGCUACAAAAGACACGAAAUCCAAACAUUUGUAAACCGAUUUUAUUUCUCAAAGUUCUGAAUUCACAAAGAACAUCACUCGCUUUGAAAAUCCCUCAAAAAUCCAAUACUGAUCCAAAUGACACGAAAUCACCUCUCAAAAAUUCCUCCACAAGUCUUCUCUCUAAUUCAGCUCUCCGAUCUCCCAAAGAACCUUUAAAUCAUCGUCAAAGCACGGUUUUGUGCCUCAAGGUUUGAUUUCGAUCCAAGUUCAUAACCAGUCCUCUUUGGGUAUCAACUUUCGUCUUCUUGAGGUAAUUUUUACUAAUUUUCACUCCUAACUCCUCCCUACAUAUGCCUAUAUUCUUUAUUUUACUAAUCUACCUUGUUUUGUCUUAUUUAUGGCCUUAAAAAGUAAAUAGAAGCAUAAUUUGUAAAAAGGCAGCAUUAGUACUUUUAAAUUUUCUACCCUUUGACUAAUAUUUAUUUUUCCAAGAUAAUUUGCUACAAUAUUUUUGAAGUGAGAUUCUCAAAACAUGAUAUUUUCUUCAUCCUUUCAUUUGUUAGCUAUGUUACAUCACAACAGUAUGUAAAUCAAGUUUUGGAGUAGCAUUUGAGGUGUAUCAUUAACUACCAAUAAGAUGAUUGAAUAACUCUUUUUCCAUUGGCAAAGUUUGCUUAAAAUAAUAUAGUGCAUUCUUCUAUGCAACAAACAUCUUUUUUUAUUAAUUAUAGAUAUCAUUUAUAACUUGAUACUUUUAAUUUUUUAAAAUUUAAUAAUCUUGUAACAAAAUAUUUAAUAAAUUACUUAUUUAAGCUAUAUAUAAUAAUAAAGACACAAUUAAAAAAAAAAAAAAACUCAAGAACAACAAAAGAGCAAUGCAGGUGCUUAUUGCAAAGAACAACUUCAUUUCUACAUUGGAGAUAAGAUAUAGUUACUUUGUUCUAAUAUUAAAACUAUUUGUCUUUGUAUCAAGUUGGAUUAUUAUAGAUUUGGACCAUUUUCUAUUUAUAAAUAAGUCAAUCUAAUUGCUUAUUGAUUAUAUCCAUUGGAGUCAAUAAAAAUCCAUCUCAUAAUUCACAUAUCUUUUUUACAACCAUAUAAGAUAGAAAAUACUUUAAAAGUAAGACAAAUACUACUGUCUCUUAUAAAAGUGGAUAAUAAUCAAAAAUUUGAGGUGGACAAAGUCUUCAACUCAAGGCAGCAUUGACAUAGGUUAGAACAUCUUAUUUAUUGGCACAAAUAUGAUAUUAAUGAAUGCACAUGGAAGCCAGCAAAAAAUCUUACAAAUGCAGCAAAGAAGGUCAAAGCUUUUUAUCAACGACAUUAAUCAAAACCAAGAUGAAAGAUAAUAAACUUUUGCUAUAAAAAAAAUACAAUACAAAAAAUAUUGUAUUCUAUCUUCUAUCCUUAUUUGUAAUUUGUAUAUGAUUGUGGCGUUAAGAAGAUGGAGAAUCAAUAGCUAAUAGAUUCAACUUAAGAGUCAUCAUUUGUUGACUUAUCAAAUAAGAUAUUGUGAUUAUUACAGCCUUCAAGAUAAUGUGAUAAGAAUUAAGAUCUUCAAGAAUAAUAUGUUCUUUCUUAAAUAGAUGGUAAGAUACAACACGUUUGGCAUUAUGACAUGGGAAGAGAUUCUCAAUGUUUGGUGAUUUUAUUGGAGAUAUUCAUAACUCUUGUGAGAAUAAAUUUCCCCCUCAUCCCAAAUUACAAGAUGGCCUUAAUUAGAAGUUGCUUGUAAUUAGUGGUGAAAAGUAGAAGUAGCAAUAAACAAAAGAAGGACAACACCAAAUAAGUGAAACAAGUGCAAUCAAGCAAUUGUACACUAUAAAACUAGUCACAAUCUGUUCACUAGAUUUUUAUCCAAUGAAAGAUAAAAGUAAAAAGUAAAAAAUAAAUUUUUAGAUAGAUAAUUUUUUAUCUUUCCAAUGACAUAAAAAUCAUAUAAUUCCAAGUUAUUAUGAAUAAUUUAUGAUACAUUAAAGAUAGAAUGUAAGUAAUAGAAAAGUUAAGUGAAUAAUUUUUACCUCAAGGAUAACUUGCUUAAGAAAUUAGGAGUUCGAACCUCACCAAGGCUCACAAGUAGUGUAUAUUAAUUUCUAAAGAGUCCUUGAGGCCUUAGUCUUAUCUUCCUACCUAUACCCAAGGUGCUACAACCCAUAUGGAAAUUGAGCACCUCUCUUCUUACAAGGACUACACUAUCUUCUAGUCCUCUUAAUUUCUACUAGUAAAACUACUUUUUUUGUAUUUUUGACUCCACCAUGAUGUUUGAAAACACCCAAUUAGCCUAGAAACUUUGAAUAGUCCUUAAAUCUUGUUUCAUUUCUUCAUAGUGGCUCUCAAGGUGAUAAAACUCAAUUUUUUCAAGGUCUUAAAAUUUUCUCUAAAAUUCAUAAAAAAAUUAUAAAUAUAUUCUAAAUAUAUUCUAAAAGAUCUUGUAAUAUUUCUAUAAUACUAAUAUCUAUAAAAGGCUAUAUUUUUCUAUUAUUUUAAAUUUUUAUAGUAAUAAAAUUAAUUUAAAUCUACUAAAAAUUCUAUUUUCUACAUACAUAACUUAAAAGACAUGAAAUUCUUUUUCAUGCUUCUUUUAACUAUUAACUAAUCAUUGAUAGGAUUUUUGUAAAUAAUUCAUGUAGAUAUGAGGCCAAUAUAGAAAUUUGUCUCAAUUACUAAUCAUUAAUACUCAAUAAUGAGUGAAAAUACUAAACCAACUAAGAUAAUUGCCUUCAAGACUUAUUAAGACUCCAUUUUUAUAACUUUUCUUGUAAUAAGACUUUUAUACUUAUAAAUACUUCUAAAUUCUAAUAACUAAGUAAAUAGUCGAAAAAAAUAUCUAACCUUAGUAUUUAUUUCAUUAAAUGAAUCAAUACUAUAUUUUUAAUCAAUCCAUCAAUUAAGUUCUACUGGUGGGACUCACAACUCUUGAUGGUAUUACAAAUGUUUUGUUUAAAGGAAGUUACGAAGGUUUCAAUAAUGAUCAAAUCAUAGGAUGAUCUUUCCGCCUUGGAAUAAGACAUUACUGAUGGCCAAGAGGACCUAUCAAAUAUCUUUAAAGAAAACAAAGAUCAGAGUAUGUAGCAAAUAUAAUUUGCUGCGUCUUAGACUUUCUUGACAUGUGAUCUUUUGCUCCUCGUGGAAUUCAUUUCUAAAAAGGGAGAUAAUAUCAUGGAUUUAUAUCUACUAUAAUUAUUACUUAGAUAACAUGAAUAGGUAGAAAUAAGUAAUAGAAGAUUAAUUUUAUAUUACCUUCUAGAAAAGCUUCCUAGAAGUUUUGUAGAUGUUGUUCUGACUUUACAUAUAUUUGUAGUUGAUUGAUAGGUUAGAAACUUGGUCAACAAGCUAACUACAUGCCACAUCUAUUGAUAGCUUAUGGAAUAAGCUAACUAUGAGGUAUCCAUAUAAAAAACUUGUUUUGUAUGUUAAGAUACUUGUCAUGCAAAGUCAAUACGUUUUUGGAGGUCCUAUAGAAUGUCACCACAUAGAUCUUAGGUAGAUAGUAUAUAUAGAGGUAAGAGUAAAGCCUUCUUCAUUCUUAUCAACUCUUUUUUAUUUUUAAUUUAGUUUCAAUAAUCUCUAAUUUCUUUGGCUUUUGAAAAUUUUUAGUUUAAAUAAUUAUUUAAAAUGCUUAUAUUUUUAAGAUAUUAAAAGAAAGAAUAGAAAUAUUUCUAUUAAAAAAUAAAAUAUAUAACAAAAAAAAUAUUAAUAUUUUUAAUAUACCAUCAAUAAGUAUAAAAAGAAUUAGAUAAUUUUAUACUUACUAUUGAUAUUUUUAUAUAAUAUCGUAAUAAAUUUAUUUAUUUAUUUAAAAUCAAUUUACUUUAAUAACUAAUAGUAAUCAUUAAAAAUAUAUAUAUUUAUGAAUCUUUAAAAAUUAAUAUUUUCAUAUUAAAUAAAAUAAAAAUAAAUUUAUUUUAUUUUUUAAUAACAAAAAUACAUCUAUAAAUAUAAAUUAAAAAAUUAUUAUAGAUAAUGCUAUUAAAAAACUUAAAAUUAAGGAUAAAAAAGUUUAAAUUUUCCUAAUAUUAUGAUUAAUUGAUCUUGUGAUAAGUUUAAUAAUUAAAAUCUUAGAUUUCUAAUCAAUAAAAUAUAUAUUAAUUUAAUUACACAUUAUAUAUAACUACUAAAAUUUUAAAAUAUAUCUCUUCUAUAUAUCUCUUUUAUUAAAAUUUGUAAUAUAAUCAAUCUGAAAAAGUAUAAAAUAGCUUAUAAAUAUUAUAUUAGUAUAAAAAUACUUAAAAUAGUAUAUUCUAUUGAUUUAUUAUAUAAUUUGACUAGUCUUUGUAGAAUUUGUUUAUAGAAGUAAUUAUAAUAUAAUAAUUAAUUAUAAUAUUUAAAUAAUUAUAAAUAAAUAAAUAUUUAUUAAUUAAGUAAUGUAUAGUUCAAGAAAUAUUAAAAACCUUCAUAGAUACAGAUUUGUUGUAUAGAUUUUUUUGAUUAUGCUAUGUAGUUAUAUAAAUUUUUUUAUGGGUAGUUUUCUUUUUAAAUUUUUAUUAUAAAAAUUUCCUAAAGUUUAGAUUGACGAUGAGCCUUGUGCUUAUUAUAAAUAUUUUAAUGAUUUUUUAUUAUGUUAUAUAGAAAUAAAAUUGAAGCUUCUACUAUAAAUUAAUCUUAACUCUUUUUUAUCCAUCUAAAAAUAAAAUAAAAAUAAAAUCUAUAUCAUUAAAUUAUUCUUAUUGAUCAAAUAUUAUCAAUAGGAAUAUUUUAUUUGCACAUUAAUGUAUUCUUAUUAUUAUUACUUUUACUAAUUAUUAUAUUUCAAUUUUUAAAAAUUAAAUUUUUUAUUUGAUAAAUUUAUAAAUAUACAUUUGUAUUAAGGUACACAUUAUUCCAAUUUUCUCUUCAAAUCUCUUACAAUUACAACAUAUUGAAUUAUAAUUAGAAUCUUUACCAUUAAAAAUUCAGAAUAAUAGUUAUGAAUAUGACAUGUGAUUUAAAAUAAUAUCAAUAGAAGAUUAUUAUAAAAUUUAAAUCCAAAUAUAUAUUUUUAAUGCAUUAAUUCCUAAAUAAACAAGUACUUUUCUAAUAUAAUUACCAAAAAUGAAGACAAACAUUUAUUGUCUAUAUAUUUAUGUAGUAUGUUUGUACGUGUUUUUGGUAAUUUCAGAUCUUUUAUGUACACUGGAUAGAAUCUCCGACCAAAAUGAAAGUUAAAACGAUGUAUUUGUAACGAUGUAGCCUCCAAUACUGAAAUAAAAACAGCGAAGCACAGCACCGUCUUUGAGAUUUUUCCCAAACGAAUCGAGGAAGAGUCGAAUGGAUGUCUCAAAAUGUCAUUCAUCCAAUAUAGUGAAUGAAGGCGGGACCUCCGGAGCAUUCCAAAUGGAACGCAAUGCGGGGUCGAACAACCUCGUUCGUGGAGUUUAAAAAAGGAAUGGGCCCGGGCGGCGUGCCCGGUGUCCGUGGGGUCCCAACCGCCCCUGCCCCAACCCACCCCCACUACCGUGAGCGUGCGCCAUGUGGAGGACAGGGGAGGCUGUAUGACUCACCAAACCGACCUGGGAACGGGUGGUAGCUCCCCCCACCUCCUGGCCUCGACUUCGCCCCUACCCGGCCCGUCCUCAAGUCAAAAUAUAAUUUGUGUCGUGUUCGGGGAGUUGAUCACAACUAUUUGGUGAUUAAACAUCCUAAAAAACUACCACCAAUAAUAAAUCGAAACUUCAAAGAAAUCCAGUUGUCUUUAAAUUAGAAAUAGGAUCGUUUUAUUUAUUCUAACAUGAAAUACUAUUUUGUGACGGAUAUCUAUGCAUGAGAAUUAAAAAUUUUAAUUGCUAAAUACAUCCACACAGUUUUCAGAAAUAAUAAACAAGACAUUGAUGUGACACAUGUAUUUCAAUAGGCCGAGAUAAGAGUUAGAUCUUAUGAAAUGUUGUGGUUUUAUAAUAUAACAUUGAUCUGCUGUGAAAGGAAGGAAUGAAGGUAUGUUGUACUGGAAUCAAUAGAACAUUAUAGACAAUUUUUUCUACAAGAAAAUAAUAUGCCUUUCUAUCAUUAUGAUUGGAUUGGUUGGUCAUGGUACUUGUAUUCUUUUUACUUUAUUAAAUUUUACUUUAAUCCUACUAAUCGCUCUAUGCGGCACAUAAUCUGUCAUGCUCAAAGUUGGCUUUGGUGACUUUAUUUGUAAGUGGGUUCAACCUGGUGAACAGUUAUGGCAAAAGCAUUGUCCACCAGAGUCUCAACCUCUUUUCUGAAUGUCUUUCAAUUCCACACUGAAAAAAAAGUUUUUUUUAAAAAGAAAAUCACCAUAUGCAUAUACCUACAUGACAGUUUUUAUUUAUUUAUUUAUUAUUAUUAUUAUUGGAAUCCAACAACAUAUUCGGAAAGGAAUAACAAAUUAUGAUUGAGAAAGAUUAGAGACACGAACCAACCUUUGUUGUCACAUAGAAGUGUUUUAAAGCCUCUGUUUCUCAAGGUGGGUACUACACCAAACAUCUUAAUUCAAAGCCUUUAAAGGGCUUGAUUCAGGUCACACACUUGUACCAAUGCAGGCUGACAAUAUCAACUUUUAUUUACCCCAAUUUGAUCUAAAAUCCCUCAGUUAAGUGAAGAGUCCACUUACCCGAGUCACUAUGAGCUAACAAUUCCCUUAACUACACAGCAUCGUCGAAGACCCGCAUUGCGUCCCACGCCAUCAUCGGAAGAGGUUUCUACGAAGUCCUUCUCAAAGUUGUGCGCGUUACCGUGCAAAGUAUCGUUCACAUUGCUCCUGACCCGAAGGUGGUAAGAAGGCAUCGAAGGUCUGGUCUAAGGUUGAAUUCGUACCAAUAAAUUCUCGGAAAUAGUGGUUCCGAGAAGUGGGGAUCACGCGUCCAUUGCGGGACCUGUAUUUACGGGAACCGCCGACCACAUGCAGCGAUUCAUGAGGCUGCAGAAUGCAUUCGGGUAUGCAGUAUGCUGGAUUUUGAAAAUUAGCGACAUAGGGUCAGCGAAGUGUGGUAGGGUUUUGCUGUAAUUACUUUCGCAUCGCAACCACAAGAGGAAUCGCAUUCGUGAAUGACAAUUCGUAUGUUGGUGAAUGCAAUGGUGGCGAGGAGCGGCAGCCUGAGGACAGCGCCUGACAUUGGUGUAGAGAGUACUCAGCAUUGCUUAGGUGUGGUGAAGGAGAAAAAUCGAUUUGCAUUGAAGGAGGGUGUGAAUGUUGCAGUCCCCAAGUACAGAGGUGUUCGUCAACGCCAAUGGGGGAAGUGGGUUUCCGAGAUUAGAGAACCGAAGAAGAGGUCGCGGAUCUGGUUGGGGUCUUUUCCUACAGCCGAGAUGGCAGCCCGAGCUUACGACGCAGCCGUGGUGUGCUUGAGAGGGCCAACGGCGUCAUUGAAUUUUCCUGACUCGCCUCCUCAUGGGCUUCCCGCAUGUCAGUCGCCACACGACGUGCAAAUCGCAGCAGCUGCGGCUGCUGCGGAGCUAUCCUCGCCGUUGUCUCUGCCAAAUCCGCCUGUUGCACUACCCCUAGACGUGCAAUUGCAUAUCAUGGAAUCAGAAACGAAGCCGUCCCCUGAGCUGCAGCGCAUCGAAACGAAGAAAGCUGACCAGCUCGGCUCGGACGAAAUUGUAUCGCGUUCGUCUGCAUCGGAUUGGUUCACCCCCUUUGAAGAUCCAUGGUGUAGUAACCAUGCAUUAGAGGACAUGGGUACGUCAUUCACAGAUUUUCCAUACUUAGAAGAUAUUAUAUAGCACAACUUCACUAUUCAGGAGAUGGACUAAACUCAAUCUCCAGCACAUAGAGCCUCGACUCGGUUUCAGAUUGUCCGGUUCACGUCCCUCGACAAAUCCGGUGUACUUGACGUAGACAUUGUGAGCAAGGUUCACAGUGCAUUACGGCGUAGAUCUAGUAUCAUAAACCCCAAAAUGUAAAGACAGGGCCACAUUAUGUAAACCCGAGGGUGAUAGCGAAGUUGUGCUGUGUGGCGACCGAAAUCGGGCGAUGAAAUCGCACACCCUACUCCUGCAUGUACAUCGGACUCUUCCAGCAACUUGCUCUCUCGCUACCGUACUCGCAUCCCUCGAAUCCACGAGCUGGAUGCCUUGCCUUCACCGCAAGAAUACUCGUAAAUCCACUGUGGACACUGUAUUAUAGCACUGAUCGGGUCCUUUCAUGUUGUAGAAAUUGUGCAUGGUUCUCGGUUGAUAGCAAGCUCAAGAGCCUCCAGCAUCUUGGACGAAACAUGUCCUCGGCCGACGAAAUCUGGUCUUCGUCAUCCAGGUGACCGGAGAUAGAGUGAAGAAGGGCACCGAACGGCUGUCGUCCGUUUUCUGUGCGGUUUUCGGUUCAUGUAUAAAUAGUGUUCAUCCUCGUUGUUUGUGAUCCAUUCUUUGGAAUGUCGUUGUCCCCUCCUGUAUUUUAUGGUCAAGGUCACUGUUGUCCAGUCCGUGAGGGUCGUUUUGGACAUUUCAUUGGGGUACAUAAAGUAUUAAGUUCCAUUUGGCAGGCAGUAUUAUAUCAUAAUAAAAGUUCGUACGUGCGUGCUUUUUAUACCGGACAAAUGUAAAAUCUGUACCAUGUGCACAGAAAAAGUAUUCAAGAUAGUUAAUGUCAUUUGUUUAUUUGUUUGUUAUUUUGAUUUUUUAUGAAACAUUAGGAGGUAGACACUUUUAGUAUUAAAUUGGGUCCAAUAAAUACUUGAGAUGUGUUUACUUUGGAUGGUAGGUCAAAGUUUCACUUUAUAUUGUGCCCUUCCUCUUGUAAACAUAUUUGUUUUUCUCCAAUCCAAGUAUUUCUCAAAAUUUUAAAGUACCUCAGUUCAUUUUGAAGUUUUGAAUGGAUUAGAAUUCGGAUUAUUCUCCAAUAAGUUCUUUUAUAGUCUGUCAACUUAAAUCAAAAUAUUUAUAAUUAUUUUUUAAAUUUUAUUUGAUUAGAUUUAUUUGAUUAAAAUUUAUUUGAUUAGAUUUAUAAAUGACAUUGUUAUAUUACUUCAAAAUAGUCCAAAAACAUGUUUCUAAAAUUAGAAUACAAACUAAUUCCAUAUUAUUGAAAUUACCAAAGUAUUUUAAAAAAAUAUUUAUUUGAAAAAAGGCAAAAUAUAAAAAUCAUUUAGAAUAGUUAAGACUACAAAAGAAUAAAAAUAUAGCAAAAUUGAUUGCAAUUUGAUAUAUAAAUAUAUAUAUAUAAAUAUAUAUAUAUAUAUAUAUAUAUAUCUAUAUAUAUAUAUAUAUAUAUAUAUUCUUAGACUUAAGCUAAUAAGUUAAUUAAACAUAUAAGAUUGAUAUAACCUAUAAAAGAUCAAAACAAUAAUAUUUUAAUUUUUUAUAUUUAAUCAAAUAUCAAAUCAUUGCUUAUUAACAAGAACAAGAACUUGAAGAAUGAAAAUAACCAAGUGAGACAUUUCUCAAAGAAAAAUGACAAAUAAAAGAAUAAGUUAAUAUAUAUAGUUAAAAAAAAUAGAAUAAUUAUUGCUAAAGACUAAAGGACUAGAAAAUCUUGAAACUAGAAAAGGAGCAAAAAAAAGAGUUGAUAAGAGUAAAAAAGGCCUCACACUUGCCUUCAUAUAUACUAACUAACUUUGAGCUAUGUAGCAACAUUCUAUAAGAUCUUCAACACAUGUCCAACUUGUAGGGCACAUGACUAAUUCGUAAUGUAAGUUUCUUAUAUAAAUGUCACAUGUCCAAUUUGUAUCAUAAGUAGCCAACAUAUGUGACACAUGGCCAACUUUUCAACCUACAAAUCAUCUACAUAUAACUAAAGAUAAAUCCACAUCUAUAAGACUUCUAACAAGCUUUUCCAUAGGAUAUUAUCAAAUUUAUAUCUAAUUACUUCUAUUAAUUUAGAUUAUCUGGAUAAUUAUAAAUUGAUCAUUUAACAUAUAUAUAUAUAUAUAUAUAUAUAUAUUAUAAUAAAUUAUUUUUAAUUUUUUUUAUCAAAAAAAAUUAUUUUUAAUAUCAUAUAACUAUUACAAAAUAUACAUAUAUAUAUAUAUAUAUAUAUAUAUAUAUAAAAUACCAAGUAUAAGAUAAAUAUAAGUAGAUUUAAUAUUAUAUUAUGGCAAAGCUUCUUAGAAGCUUCAUAGAUGCAUAUUUCACUUUAUACAUGUUUAUAGUUAAUUGAUAUGUUAGAAACUUGGCCAACAAGUUAGCCAUGCAUUGUACAUGUGGAUAGCUUGUGGUAUAAGCUAAUAAUGUGGCACACAUAUAGGAAACUUACCUUGCAAGUUAAGACACAUAAUCACAAAUUAGACACUUGUUGGAGGUCCUAUAGAAUGUUGCCACAUAACUCUUAGUUAGAUAGUAUAUAUAGAGGUAAAAAUGAAGUCUUUUCCACUCUUAUCAAUACAUUUUUAGUCUUUAAUCUUGUUUCAAGACUUUCUAGUCUUCUUGUAUUUGACAAUAGCCAUUUUAAUCUAAUAUUAUACCAAUUUGAAUGAUUUUUUAGUUUUUUUAAGUGACACAAGAAUUUAUUGAUUUUUUAAUUUUUUAAAAUUCAUGUUCUUGAUAAUGAAUUAAUUAUUUCAAAAUCUAAGAAUUAAUCUCAUUUUUCUAUUUAUUUAUAUUAGCUAUUAUAUAUUAAUGAUAUAUUCACAAAUGAUGUUAAAUUUUUGAUUUAAAUAGAUUAGAAAUCUUUCUUAAUUUUUACUUUUUUCUUAUAUCAAAUUAAUUGAUUGAUAUUCUAAUUAAAUCAAAUAAUUUUAUCAUAUUAAUUAUAAAGAUAUUUUUUAGAUAAGUUGCCACAUCUUUUUUUUUUAAUUUUUUAAUUUUUUAUAUUGAUAUGCCAAAAUACAUUAUAUUUCUAUAGGAUCUAAAUUUGUUUUCUUAUAAUAGCAUAUACAAUAAUAAAGUUUGAUGUCCUAUUAUAUAUUAUUUUGUUUGAAAAUAUAUCAUGCACUUGGUUGUGGAAGGUAAACUUGUACUUUGUAGUUAAUUAAAAAUAUAUUAAAAAAAAAUGUUAAUUUACUUAAAGGUCAACCAUUAACCUUUUGUCAUGAAUAUAAUUCAUAUUAACAAUUAUCUAAAUAAGGAGAAUUAAGUAGAAGUAAACAGAAGCAUGUAAAUUAUAUAAUAUAUUAUAUAAAGGCUUUAUAAAUUUGGAUUUUAUUUUAUAUAUGUUUAUAAGUGAUUGAUAGGUUGAAAACUUUGUCAAGAAGUUGGCAAUAUGUUGCACAUGUUGGCCACUUGUAGUAUAAGUUGGCCAUAUAGUGCACAUAUAGAAAACUUGCUUUGCAAGUUAGAUACAUAUUUUUUGAAUUUAACAUGUAUUAUAAGUUCCAUAGAACAUCACUAUGUAGCUUUUAUUUAAAUUGUCUAUAUAAAUGCAAUAGUAAGGCCUUUCUCACUCUUAUCAAUUUAUUACUUUCUUCUAGUCUAAUUUCAAGAGUCUAUAGCUCUUAUAUCUUUAAUAAUAACUAUUCCAAUCUCUUCUUAAAUACAUCUUUUCUCCAUCUUCUUUUGAGAUACAUCUCACAUAUUUUUAUUCUUUGAUUUCUUAUCCUUAAAACCUUCUCUAAUUGUGUUUUUAAUCUAUAAGCAAUAAUAGUUAAUUAUUGCAUGGUUUAUUUUCUUUCAAAAUUUGUAAGAAUGUUGUAAAUUAAUUUCAUUAUUAGCUUAAAAAAUAUUAUUUCAAUUCAAUUGGAAGAUUAUUCAAAAUCAUUGAAAUCUCUUCAAAUCCUUGAAAUCUAUUAUUUGAGAUCUUAACUCAAGUGAAUUUUAAUAGUCUUUGAUCAUACUAUUUGAUUAAUCUUAAAUUCAUAAAAUACAUUCAAAACAAAUAGAUUUACAAUCUCACAAAUUUAUACUUGUCAAUUUGCUAAAAUGUCCACAAAAGUCUACAAAAUAUAUACUUUUGUUUAUUUUAAAAAACCAUGAGUCACUAAAAUUACCUUAUCUUUGUAAAUCUUUUAUAAAAUCAAUAUCUUUUUAAAUUAUCCAAAAUUAACACUUAGACAUAUCCAAUAAAAAUUUAUCCUUAAUAUUGUUUUUCAAUCAACAAAAAAAACCUUAUUAAUUGCUGUAGGUGUAUGAUUUUAUGCCUUAGGAUUUGAUAUCAUCAUUAAUUCACAACCAAUUUUCUUUAGAUGUUAGCAUUUAUUUUUUCAAGUUAUUUUUUUUAUUAAAUGCUAUUUUUUAUUUCCACUUAAAAAAUAUAAUAAUAUUAUUUUUUAUAAUUCAUUAUUUUAUUUUAUUUUUAGUCUUGUAAAUUAAAAAAUAUCAUUUUUAUAGAAUUAAAAUAUUCAUAAUAAUUUUUUUUUAUUAUCUUCAUAUCUUUUAUCCAUAUUUUUUUAAAGUAAUUUUUUACUAUGUUUUUUAAUAAAUUUCUUUUAUAAUAUAUAUAUAUAUAUAUAUAUAUAUAUAUAUUAUCUAAUAGCCAUGUUAUAAUAUAAUAUCAAAUAAAAAUUACAUGAAGCUCAAAUAAAGAUCAUCUAAAACGAUAAUAAAGAAUAGAUAAUAAAUAGAUAAAAAUUGGAUGAAAAUAUGAUAAAGAUUAGAUGAAGAUCAAAAGAAGAUUAGAAAAAGAUCACGUUAUAGUUGGAUGAAGUCUAGAUACUCUCAAAUGCUCUACUUUGUCAAUAAUGAUGAUUUCCACAUGUUCUUUUUAAGCCAAGGACAAAAAAAAUUACAAGUACCACCAUCACUACCUCUUGUGUCAAUGAAAAAAAAUCAUGAGCAUUAAUACAAUCUUCGUUUAUAUCAAUGACAAACAAAAAUAACAUAAGAAACAUCAUGGUUGCUUUUUAUACUAGUGAAAAAUAAAAAUAUCAUAAGUAAUGUUAUAGUUGAAUCACAUGGUUUUAGUUGUUUUAGCUUCAACAAAAAAAUACAAUUAUUUUUUAGAGAGCCUACAAAACUAUUGCAACUUUAAAAAUCUAUUGUAUUAUCAACAAGUUUCAAUACAUCAGUCUAUGACACAAAUUGUUAACUAGAUGAAUAAAAAACAGUUGUGAUCUAAAUGACAUGUCAUAGAAAAAAAUAAGAUAGUCUUUAUUUAAAGCACACCUUAAGUCUUUAGCAAUUGAUUUAUAAUUAUGAUUUUUUUUUCUUGCUUUAUUCUUGUGGCUUUUUAUAUUCAAACAAGCUUCAUUAUUUAAUACAAAAAAAUCAAAGAAUAGUCAAGACAAAUUCUUUCUUUAUACUUUACAAGGCUGUAAAAACAAUCUUAUUACUUCAUUCAAGUUGCUAGUCUCUAUACAAAAGCUAGACAAUGUCUAGUGGAUUAUUAAAUUAGUUAGUAACUUUUACCUAUUUAAAUUAAAUAAGAUCAUUCAUCAUAAUACUAACAAAAAUAUAUUUCUUUUUAAUCAUAACAACCUACUUACAACAACCUUAUAUGCUAAUUUGUAAGAAAAUUCUUCAUUUUACAAAUUUCUAUAAGUUGCUUUUCAAUUUAACAUCCUUCUUGCAUAUUGUAUAGUUGCAUUUUUAAUUAUCUUCUAAAACACAAUCUAAUUCUUUUAAUUGCAACCCUUCUACUUUUUUGUACUUCAAACUUAUGUAAAUCUAAUUUUUUCUUUGUAGUAAUCUAAUUCUUACAUGCUCACACUAUAGCUAAAGUGCUAUAACCCAUAUAUGACAUGUGCACCUCUUUUCAUGUAAGUACUAUAAUAGUAAGAAGUUUUCAUAUCUUAUAGAAUUUUUAUUUAUUUAUUUAUUUAUUUUUUGAAAUUUUAACUACACUAUGGUGUUUUAAAAAAUUUAAUUUUUUCAGUAAUAUUUUAUCUACUACCUAAUAAUUAUAGGUUACUAAUAAAUAAUACAUAUAAAAAUAUAUUUUUGUAUAUAUUAGCCAUAAUAAUUAAACACCAAAUUUUAUAAUUAAAAUAAUCUUUUUAAAUCAACUAAGAUAAUUAUAUUUAAGACUUAUUAAGACUGUAAUUUAAUAAAGUUUUACUUAACAAAAUUUUUAUUUAACAAAUUUUUUAUAAAUUUUAUAUUUUCUAAGUCCUAAUAUAUAUUUAGAUAAUAAAAUAGUCUCUUAAAUCUUAAAAUUUAUAUAUUAAAAUAAUUUUAUAUUUUAUUUUUAAUAGAUCCACUCUUAUCUAAAAAUUCUUCUAAAAACUUAUCUUUUAGAAAAUAUGAGAACUAACUAGUAUUGUAGUAGUUAUAGAGAAAAAGAUAUACAUGUCAUAUAUAGAUUGUAGCACCGUAGUUGUAGGUGCAAAGAUAAGUCUAAGGCCUCAUGUUCUUUCUAAGCAAUCCUUUACACCACCUUGUGAGUUUUAGUGAGGCUCAAAUCUUUAAUCCCUCAAGCAAUUUAGCCUUGAAAUAAAACCAUUUAUUUAAUUUUUAUCUUUUUUUUAUAUAAAAAUUUAUUUAACAUAUUUAUAAUAACUUAGAUAUAUAUAGAUAUAUAUAUAUAUAUAUAUAUAUAUAUAUAUAUAUAUAUAUCUUAUAUCAUUAAAAAUCUCUGAAUAUUAUCUUUAUUAAUAUUUUAUUUUAUCUUUUAUUUUAUUUAAUAUUAUAUAAAAUUACAAUGAACAAAAUGUGACUAGUUUUUGGAGUGUGCAAUUGUCUAAUUGCAUUUCUUUUACUUGUUAUGUUCUUAUUCUUAUUUAUUUCUUCUUAAUUUUAUCACCUACUUCACACUAUUCAUUACAAGAAGCUCUUAAUUGAGGCCAUCUUGUAAAUUGGAUUGAAAGAUAAAUUUUACCUUCUCAAUGGCUACUUAAAAAUUCUUUGGUAAUAAUCUUCUCAUUGAGACCUUGACUCAUUAAAAUAAACAUCCAACAUCUUAUAAAAUCAAAAUUUAAUUAUAUUUAUAAAAUUUAAAUAUAUUUUUAGCACAAAAUAGGAGUCAUAUAAUAUUUAGACAUAUUCUUAGAGAGAAGGAAUUUAGAGGAAAUAUUAGUCUUAAAUUUAGUAAUUGAGAAGAGUAUAUAUUUAUUUCUAUGAUUACCAUGCCUUGGAAGAAAAGUGUUUUUUUGGUACAUCCAAAAAAUUAAAAAAUAUUUAUAUAUAAAAAAAAAUUAGAAAUUUCUGGAUAAAGCUUUGAGAAUUUAGAUUUAGAAUUUGUAAUUUAGAAGUUUGAAAUUUAUGAUUUAGAAUAUAAAAAAUCAGAACAUAUACUAGUUAAAAUGAAUAAUUAAGAAGUUUCAAAAGAUAGGAUCUAAAGAUUAAAAUAGAUGGGACAACCUAAGAUAUUGUAUGAUCUAACAUUUUACAAUUCAUAGAAAAGAAAAUGCCUUCACUUGCUUUUAUUCCAAAAAUCCAAAAAAUAUAAAUUUUUAGAUUAGUAAAAAUGGAUCAAGUAGAAUCAUGAAUCUAUUGCUUGCUAUUACUGUCAUAUUUAAACAUCUUCUUAUUAAUAUAAUAAAAAUCAAAAUUGCUAUAAUAAAAAAAUUAAUUAUGUUAACUUUAAAAUCUAUUGGAAUGCCAAACUAGAAGCAUUAUUUUUCUUUUAAAAAAUGUGUUUGGUAGUAAUUUUACAUUACUAAUUUGCAUUUUUUCUAUAUAUAUAUAUAUAUAUAUAUAUAUAUCUAUCUUACUACUUUGUGUAUAAAAUAAUUUAAUAAUUAAAUAAUUAGAUUCUCAAAGUCAAAUUUGAUAUUUUUUAAAUUUUAGUAAUUCAUAUUUGAUAAUUUAAAUGACAAAAAAUCUAUAAUAAUUGGAAUUAUUUCUUAUUUUAGACUGUUUAUUAUAUUCUUCUAUAAAAGUGGAUAUAAGUAAUAGAAAUAAGUUUAAACUUCAAUUAAGUAUAUAAUCUAUUUGAUUAAUUUUUUUAUUUGGUUUUAAUAUAUAGUAUGUUUAGAAACAAGGUAUGGAGUAUGCUUUAGUUAUUACAUCUAAAAAAGCUUUCAAUACCAAUUAUAUAUCUUUUUAUUUUAAGAUUUAGAAUUUAGAAUUUAGAAUUACAAGUAUCAUAGGACAUAUAUUUAGAGUUCAAAACUUUAAGUUUAAGUUUUUAGAAUCAUAUUAGUAUAUCCAGUAUUUAUACUUCUUUGUUUUUAAUUGAAAAAAAGCUUAGUUAUUAAUUAUUUUUUAAUUUUUUAUAACCAAUAAUUUUGGUGAAAUAAAUAAUAUAUUCUACAAGUUUUUAGACUUAUAAGUUUAUACACUUUAACUAUAUAUUUAUAAAUUUAAUUUUAUAAUGAGAAAGAUUUUUAUAAGUGUUAAGUCAUUUAUCUUUUGUAUAUUGGAUUCAUAAUAUGUAAUUGUAUAAUCAAAUUAUAUUAGAAGUUUUUCGAUAUGUGGAUAUUAAGGAUUUUAUUUAUUUGGUUAUUAAGUUUAGAGUUUUGUUAGCCCAAGUAGGUGAGUAGGAUAGUCCAAGACAUGACAUAAUCUAAUAAUUUAGAAGAUUUGUAAAAUCGAAAAUCUUAUAAAAACUUAAACCAUUAGAAUUUAACAUGGUGUUCUUUAUUAUUAUUAUUAUUAUUAUUAUUAUUCUUCCAAGGUUGAAAAGAUCAACUUUUUCUUUGAUUAUUAACCUUUAGUAAAAAAAACUAUGAUAUUUUUAUUUUUUAUAGACUUAAAAUUUCUUGACUCUGAAAAAAUAUUGAAUUUAAACAAGAUUGUUCUAAACUUAAUAUAUAUAUAUAUAUAUAUAUAUAUAUAUAUCACAGCUAUAUUUACAUAAGAAUUAUUAUUUUAUGAUUAAAUAUAAUAUAGAAGGAUUAUAAGAACUAAUCCUAUAAUAAAAAAAACUAAUAAAAAAUGAUCUAAUGGUACCAAACUAUGAAAGAAAUUACAUUAUGAUAAUGAUCAUUCUAAAUAUAAAUAAGUAAAUAUAACUAUAAAACAAAGUAUAUUGGAAUCUGCAAUUCUAGAAAUAAGUUAACUAAACAAAUCAAGACAAAAGGAGUGGAGGUGCAAACUAGUAAGCAUAGAAUUUUACAAAGGUCCAAAGAGUAUGAAAACAAUUAUGGAAGAGUUAAUUUGAUAUAUAUAUAUAUAUAUAUAUAUAUAUAUAUAUUAAUUAGGCCUAUAAACAACGAAUCUACAACAUAAUAAACUUUAAAAUAAAAAUAAAUUUGGAGCUAAUUAGAUCUUUUUAUGCUUAUCUUUUAAUUUUUUUUAUUUUUAUUUCUUUCUAAAUAAGCCAUUCAUCCAUCAAAUCCUAUAAAGUUUGUAUGAAAUAUGCGAUAUUAGUGUGAUUAGACAAAUACUAAAAUUCAAUAUUUUUUUAAUAUAUUAUUAAUUUUAAUCUAUGUAGAUUUUUAUUUUUUUAUUUUUAUUUUUUUAUAAAGCUUCAAUAUUUUCUCAAAAAAUCUUGAGAAAAAAAUUGUUUUGAGGUGAAUAUAAUCAAAUGAGGGUGUUCUCCUUCCUAAAGUGUUUAGAGCUAUUUUAAAUUUCUAUUCUUCUUUUAAGGUUGAUUGUACUAAUACUUAUGUCAUCUUGACAUCUUAAAAUUACUAUGAAAUUUUUUUUUUAGUAAUAUUGGACUAAUGCAUGCUAUAACUAUAUAAGACUCUAUAUUUUAGAUUUUUCUACUCUAAAAAACCUCUUAACAUUAAUUAUCUUAUAUAUAUAUAUAUAUAUAUAUAUAUAUAUAUAUAUCUAUCUAUAUCAAUAAUUGUAGAUAAUUCAAAUAUUAUUGUUUUGUAUAUACCAUGUAUAUUUUUCCAGCUUUUGUAUUGUCUACUAUACCUCUUAAGACUUACACUUGUGUUUGCAACACAACUUAUUCUAUGUAUGAUAUGCCAAAAUCAUUCAAUAAUAAAAAAAAUAUUAUCCAAAAUUUUGCUUAUUCUUGUCUACGACUUGAUCUAAAGUAACUAUAAUAAAAAAACAUAAUACUACUUCAAAUCGAAAUCUUAUUCUAUAUUUAUAUCUAAAGUAGAUAAUGUGUACUAGUUUAAGACUUUAUUCCAAAUUUUAAGCAUAAAUAUAUAAACUAUAAGAAUUAAUUAGAUUUUUGUUAUAAUUUUUUUCUAUUUCAAACCUCACUCUAAUUGCAUUUAUUGGAAGAUAUAGACUUAAUUACAAAUUUUAUAAGAUUACUAAUAACAUAUCUAAGUUGAAAUUAAAAUACCUAAUUCUAAAGAUAAGAUCCAACGACAAAAAAAACUCUGUUAAGUUUUUUGGAAGUACCUUCAUAAGCUAUUUUAACAUAUUCAUAUAUGUGUUGCAGGAUUAAUCCCAUCCACUCUCAUGUUUACUAUAUAUGAUAGAAAAAUCAAAGAUAAUCUGUUAUUUUUUCUUUAUUAGUAUUACAUGUUUAUGUGUUACAGCAAUACAUAUAAUGCAUUAAAAAUAUCAUAACAAAUUUAUUGGACACACAAUCUCCACUUAACUUCUACGUUGCUUUUCAAUUAUGUGUCAACAGCAAUGAAUCCAAUUAGAAAAAAAACUUAGAUUCUGGCCAGGAAAUUCAAUGUUAAAUGACUCUUCCAAGGUGAACAACAGUAAUUAAAGUUUGAAACAGCGUGCAUUCAGCUCCACCAACGCUUGUUCUAAACUCCAAUUUUUGUAGCAUCCAUAUUAUUUAAUCAAUUGCUGCGGCUACAAACACGGAUACAAUGAAGAUCUGCAUGUAUCACGAGUACUCUUUGGGAUGUAAGAUGCUCAACUACUGUUUGGCUCACAGCGAUGUGAGGUGUGCCUUGAAGGGCUAAGUAGCUCCCAAAUAGAAAGUGUGUUCAAAGAGUUGAUCCUAAGACGAUCAUUUGAUAUAUCUUCUUAGAUCAGCAUAGAUUUCAAAACGACAAAGAAUAUGGUCGAUUGUGACACGAUCUGCUGUGAAGCUGCGUUGCUCUAUUUCUGGCAUAUCCCUCAAGGACUGCAACUUCACGCCUUUUUAAAUCAUAGAUCGGCGUAAUAUUUCCUUCAAAAAGGGAAAUUGAGGCCUGCUCACGAAGUCACAGCGAGAGGUUAUAGAUUGUCGAAGUGGUGUUCAAGUCCAAGUCAUUCACCAUUGAUUUUACAAAUAAAUGCAUAGUGCUUGCCUGUGGUAAGCUUUGGUGCUCUAUGCUUAGUUUCUAGAAUCCAUGGUGAAUGACUUGGAGUUGAAUCUUGCUUGCUAGUGCAAGGCUUAAUAUUUUCAUAAUUUCUCGUAUGAAUAAAUGCGGAAUUGCGCACACAACAAUCUAGGGUUGGAAAAAAUUUUACGUAGCACAUCAUUCCACAGUUCUGGUUAUCUAGAACAAAAAUCUGUGGUGUAUUAAUCGUUUUUGUCUUUUAACUUCCUGCACACAGAAUGGUAGGCGACUUCCCAAUCAUCUGAGCUAGCUUACCAAAACGAUUCUGCAUGGACCGGACGGUGCUUACCUCCAACAAACCAAUUGCGAAACGAAGCACUGCACCAAAUUGCACAACAUUUGUCAAAAUCUCACGGCCUUUCCACAUAACGAUUUCUUUCAAAGGCAUCUAAAAUUCUCCAUUAUGUUCUUUCGCAACGCCUGUUGGAUAAGACUGGUCAUAAAAGGCAAAUCCAAUAAAUGACUAGAUACAAUCAUUUUGAAACAUCAACCCUGCAUGAUUGAACAGUAGGGACGCGCACCAGGGACAAUGCAUGUUACAAUUACACUGCCGCACAGCUCCACAUCAUCGGACACCAUUCAAGCUCCGUAAGAACGACAUCCACCGCUCCACGACUUAUUGGCUCAGAAAACUGAAACACAAGCUCCUGGAGAGCGCCACAACCGCAUGCUUGUGUUCAAGCAGCAAUUUUAGUGUAUCAACCGAUUGCAAAGACGAUCGUGAACGAUACCACUGCGAAUUCACAAACUAGCGUCGAAGUCGCCGCGGCGAUCUCACGCAAGGUAAACCCUAAUUGGCCGUUCAUAGGCAUUCUGAAGAUUAAAUUCGGGUAGGUUCGGUCCGGGGCUAAUCCGAGCCAAACCCAGCCUGGUACAACCCCUUCCAGAAAGAACGUACGGAAAGGACAUUCGAAUGUGGACGCAUUCACACUGCUAUCGCUCCACCUACUUUAGCAUAAUGAGGUGGCAUUUAUGGGCCACUGGGUUCACGAGUUCUCUUCGUGGAGAACAAUAGAAAUUUAGUUCCCUAAAGUUGGAAUAAUCUUGUGGUUGAAGCUUAACGAUGUUCCAAAUUUGUUUAUUAUGAAUACCAACUCAUGGUUCCUUAAAUGAAAAGAUUACGUAUGUGAGUUGGAAUUCAACAAGUGAUCAACUGGUGAAGGGCCAUUGCCAAACGAAGCAUCACCGAGUUUGCCGCAUGAGAUUUGAAUUUGAGCGCGCUGGCCCUAUAAAAGGCCCCAGUCGGACCGUUAACCCCGCCAUCAGUUCGAUGUCGCAGUUGUGACCCGGUCCGCAGCGCACGGGUGUGCGCAUUUGCCCAGCCCGGCCCGCCCCAACUCAACUCAACUCAUCAGCUUGCUUGUGGUACAGCUUGUGCGUGAGUUGAGCAGGUCUGCAGUGGUUGCGCAGUUCCGCGACACUCGAUCAUCGGGUGGAUUCGAGGGUUUGAGUGAUGAGGAUCGGCGUGUCGGAGAAGAUUCAUCGGGCGCUGCAGAGAUUGCAUCUGCACGGGAUCGGGGGUGGGAAUUCGCUCCAGCACAAUGUGCACUGCGACGUGAAGGUCAGGAAAGUCGACCUGGUGCCCAGCGACGUGCCUGCGGGGUUCUUGGUCGUGUACGUCGGUGACGAGCGGCGUCGGUUCGUCAUCAGGGCCUAUACCUUGAAGCAUGCAGUGUUUCGCGUGCUCUUGGAGAAGUCGGCCGAAGAGUUUGGUUACAAGCACGACGGUGGGUUGAUCAUUGCUUGCGAUGUGGCAUUUUUUGAGCACCUGCUGUGGCUUAUCGAAACAAAAAGCCCUUCUCUUUGUAGGAUGGAGCUGCGGCAUUACUGGGCUUUCGCGCCCGAUAAUACUAUUUGUCACAUGGUGGAUUGAAUGAGGGAGAGGAUGCGGAAUGAUCGAGUACGGAGAGCGUGGAUAUUUUGUGCGAUUCGCGCUUUUCAGUGCGAUGGUGCGCAGUCUAGGAGAGGUGGAGGGGAGCCCCAAAUUGGCUACGGACGGCUGGGUGAGCGGUUAGACGUAUCAGUCGACUGUGGUGUCUAUGCCUUACGCCGAUGCGUAAUUCGAAAUCAUUUGUUACGACGUUGGAGGAAUAUCUUUUGGUACAUAUCAUUCUUUUGGAAAGAAUAAGCACUCUUAAGGUAUUAGCAUGCGACUGACGUUCUUGCGGUGAAUUAUCGUUACCAUUCUUUCAGUUGAUCCGAUCUGGCACAGAGAAUGAUGCGUGUCAGGAGCCUCGCUAUGGAUCAUUAUUGACUUACUUACACCAUGACAACCUCUCUGUGCCCAAUCCAGGGUUGGUUGGCUGAUUAGUUUGCGACAAUGAAAUUCGGUAAAGCGAUCUCAGCUCACGGCAUAGUGAAGAUAAUUCCGAUUUGCAAACGUAGGAAGACUUUGUUUCAGCCUGUUCGCUGUAGCCUUGUCUUUUUACCACCAGCCUGUGGGUAGCUGGUAGCUUGUAGCUUGGGCGGUGUUGCUCGUCCAUGCUAAGGCUAUGAGAUGUUUGACGCUGUGAAUUGCGUACUGCAUGACAAGCCUUAGGAUGUGUCUCCGAAGAUUUAUUUAGCAUUGUGCGAGACAAAAUUUUGUAGUUUAUGAGCACACGCUGUGUUCAUAACGGAGCCCCUCGUCCUGUAGAAGUUGAUCGAUGACCUACCUGUGUCAUGGCAUUCGUCAGACCAUAACAUCCCUUAAAUCACUAAUUGUCUUCCACGUACUAGUGUGUUAGCAAGGCCAUUUGAGAACAUGUGCUGCAUUGCAUACUAUGUGUUGUAAAAUUCGCUCCUUUAUCCUGAGUCGGAUUGAAAGAAUGAACGCUAAUGAUUCCAUCUGCGAAAGAAAGACCUCCGUUUGUGGUCUGCGCAAAUCCUUGACGGAGUAAAAACAGGAUCAUUGCACGCGACAAUAAGUCAUCGUUAUAACAUUGGACAACUUCUUUGGGCAAAGACGUCCUACAACAUAGAGAGCUGCAUCCAAGUUGUGGGGAUCACCCAUUACUUAUACCAAGCGCAGUGGAGGCUAAUUGGACUACGUAAUUUGUUCGGUGCCACUGUUCUAAUUCCUUCCUUAUCAUCAAUUCAACAUAAGUUGCCUGUUCAAAGUGUUCAGAAAACCGGAACUUCGAACAUGAGGCAAGAGGAUCUAGAAUUGUAUGGAUCAAGUUUCACAAAUGUUGUAUAUACAUAAUCAGAUCAUACCGGUGAAAUGAAAAUAGCGUCGAUCAUGUAAAUCACGCAGGUUCGAGUGUGAGUUAUAACCAUACUGAAACACACAUGUGGCAUCAUGUCCAAUGAAGGUCAUGAGCCCAGUAACGCUCACGUCAACAUUACCCCUUACAAACGGGUUUUAUCAUUCUCGUAAGUAGCACACCCAACUCCAAUCUCUGGUCCAAGCAUUAAAAAAAUUCAAACAAGCAUUCGAGGUGAUAUAAUAACGAAUGCCUUGCACACCGACAUUACAUGAAGGAUAGUGGUACAAGAAUGUGCAUCGAAUGUGCUCGUUAUCAGCUUUUCUUCAGGAUCAAUGAAGCAUCUACUCAAUGCCACUGAAUCACUUAAAACAGUGCAGUAAGUGUGAGUAAUCCUAGAUCUUCAUGCUCUUCUGACCUUAUAAACUUUGCUGUGAACGACAAUUCUGUUAACCUUAAACCCUGGAACUAUUGUAAAGCCAACACCGAACACGAUGGGAGAAUUGUCGCCUUCAUCAUCGUCACUCUCUUCUGUCGACAUCAGAAUAGAUUCCAUGUAGUUCCGGUUGAACUUCAUUUUCCUUGUCGGUCGGAAGAUCUCGGCUGUUGGACGCAAUGCGAAUGCAAGCUUGUGUACAAGAAAAACAGAGAGCGCGAGUUUGAUAAAGCUCGAGGCUGAUUUGACCUCUGUUACAGACGUAGCCAACUCCUGUCUUCUAAUACCAUCUGGCCCAAAUACUUUACCGAAGACCAGAACUCCCACGUUUUCAACACCAGGGGCGCCGGUUCGGGAGAGAGCAGCAAUCAAAUCUAUUUGCUUCUUGUUGCAGAACCUGCGAAAGUCAUUAUCGGCUGCAUCAUCGUAAACAAGUUCUUCAGGAUUCUCCAAAUCGUUUAACUGUUUGUACCGCUCGAAGUUAUCUUUCAUACGAGUCUCGGAGUCUAGAGUAUCUGGUGCAUUGUCCUCAAUGUGGAAGCUAUCAUUCUCAAACUGGUCAAACAGAACAUCACAGACGAGCGCUUGGUACACGAACUUGGUAUGACCAUCUCUUUCGAAUACAACGGAUGGCACCAACGCCUUGGCCACACUGGAGCAAUUCACGCCACUAUUCUUCAAGGCUUGCAUCAAAAACUUGGUGAGGAUGCCCGAUGUCGUGUUCACUCUAUCCACAGCUUUGUGUAGAAGGUGUGGAGUGGCUUCUGUUUCCAAGAAGGAUUCGCCGCCGUUGUAUUCUUGCGAGUUCCCAAGCUCCACGACUCUCUUCAGAUGGGCAUUCUCAGUUGUCUUGCUAUUCAAUAGUCGCUGGAGCUCCGUAACUUCACUCUGCAACUUCCGCAUCUCAUUCUCAUUCACAGAUCCAGUCUGCAAGGGAUCUUGUGACGGAGAUUCCGAGCCAAUUUUUAAUGCGAUGUAAUCACGCCUGUCUACAAUUCUCGGUGAACUCUCGUGCCCUCGUAAAUAUCUACCCGGUAACCUAAUUAAACGUAUCAAAAUAUAUAUAGGGUGCCAUAAAACGCUGCGGAAAAAACCGCACAUACUUGCGUCACAACCCAACACCAGCUUUAGAUGAUAAACAACUUUCGAUCAAAUUAAUCUGUAAUCAAAACAGAUUCUUAAAUGCUUAAAGCUCGUAAUCCAACUUCACAAUCCAUGCAAUCUCCAAAAAAAAAAGAGUGAAGAAGAAGAAGAAGAAGAAGAUGAAGAAGGAAACAAAACCGCGUUGCAAAUGUUGAAAGACAAAAAAGAAGAAGAAUUGUAUUGAAUCUCCACUAACCUGAAAUUUAUCUUUAAAUCCACGAGGAAACUGUCGGUAGAAAAAAUAACGCAGUCGCGAGAUGAAAGCCGUAAUGUUGCUGCAUUCGAGACUCCAAAAAUUCUGUUAAAAACGGCGUAGAAUCUGUCUCUUGGUCUAGAAAGCACAGUGACUUUCUCUCUCCCUCUAUGACACCAUACAAUCCGCAAUUCCAGAAUGAUAGCGUCGAAGGAAAACCAAUAACCUCCCUCCUCUUUCCCCUCUCCACUGACUUCGCAAGGCACCCCGACACCCGAUUCAUCAGAUCAAACACACUACAAAACGUGUCGGCCACCUUAAAUUCUCUUGCUACAUUCCCGUGUACAUUGCUCGCUUCCGCAGCGACAGAGCUAGGAAAGGGCGCAAACGCAGGGCGAAAAUUGGGUUAGAGUGGACGACUGUCCUGUGAGGAAUGCAGUUUCCGCCCAUACCAGGCCACUAGCAUCAUUAAAGGUUACACGAUUCUUUUCAGGAGGUCCACACCCAGAUGACUACCGACUGUAUUAUAAAAUCAUUUACCCAGCACUUGUGAGGCUUUUUUUCGGUGAACGAUUGUUUCGCAUUUUUAUUCCCGACUGUUCAUCCAUAGUCACGCACUACACGGCAUCCAUCUACUAGCCCUGUUUUGCUCGCAAAGCAGCUACAGAGCCCUUCCGUCGUCCCGGGGACGCGUGCAGAAAAUUCAGUCAUUACUCUUGAAAAGCGACGAUCACUACUAACCUGUGCAUCCAGGACCGGAAUACUUCUAAUGCUCACGCAAAUAUCUCAUUUCUGGAGUGAUAAAUUACAUCCCCACAUCUUACUCUCCGUCUUGUCCACGUUGGUCGACUUGGUUUUGACGGUACUGCAAAGAAAUGUAGCCUAUCUUGAAAGAACACUGAAUUUGAAACACUAAAUUCGUAAAGAAAAUACUAGAAUUGACUUGAGCAGAACGGAAGUGCUGAAAUGUGAAAUUCAUUUUCCGAUGUGGCAAAAAGCUCAAGGCUCGAGUAUUGUGCUACAUCGUCAUACUAAGAAUAAACGAGACUGGCUAAGGUGCUUCCGCUUUCAUCUACAUACAAAAGGGGAUGAAUAUUCUAACACAUCUUUGCAAAUUCCUCCAAUUCUUCAUCGUAGAAACUGAUCCUAAACAACGGACAUGUGAACAAGGUCUCGAAAGAGGUAAUAGUCCCAGCUAAUACAGCAUCUAUGCACACUCGGUGCGAACAACUCGUACUGUUCUGCUUCCUUUCCUAAUCGUCAAAGAGAAAUGGAAAAUUGACAAUAAAUAUAAAAAACUCCAGUCAUAGAAGUCGAACACGCGAUGUUACCAUCUCUACUGACCAUAGCCUUCGCAUACGACUAUGUCUGGGCCUGGUCAGAAUUUAUUCAUAUUUAAAACAAUAAUGUGCAACAAUUUCUAUCAAGAAGCAAGCUUAAAAAAAAAUUGUACCAGUCAGGAAAAAACGUAGGCAACUAUAGAAAAAGGAAAUUCAGCGGCAUAUCAAAAACGAUCCGAAGACCAUACAAAUUUCAGCCGCCACCUGUCCAAUCGAUCCCCGAAAUUUGCCUUUCCCUAUUCCAUCGAAGAGAUUUGGUGCGAAGGAAAAUUCCAUGCUGCUUCGCGCGCCCAGUGGGUGGGGGGUUGUCCAGGGAGGUACACUGGCAAGGACGAAGAAGCACGCGACGUCGCACGGCAGAGUGGCAAGGAAGGCCAGAGUCGAGACAGCCCACAGUAAGCGAGAGAGGGAGUGAUGCCAGCCCUGUCCCCGUCCCCCUCACCUUCUCUGCUUCUUCUUUUGCGAUGGAUGGCACCAUCACUCACACGGUGGCGCCCUCACUCCACUUGCAAGUUGCCUCGCCUGCCUUUCCCCUUCCUUCCAUCCAUCUCCUACUAUUUAUCAUGCUUCGCCGGGCCUUUUGCUUCUCCACGCCGAUUGCCAAGUGCAUCUCUGUGCAGGCCCCUCGCUAUGUCCCUCGGCGAAGCAACCAACCGCUGGACUUCGAAAUUCUUCUCAACGCCUCCGAGCCAGGGCCCGUGUAGUCGUCGCGAUCGACAGUCGUCGGUUGGUUCGCACAAUGGCAAUAUCCAUGCAAGAGUUGUUCUACGGUGAGAGCGAGCCCGUCUACUUGGUCCACUAUGGGCGGCAAAGAAGCUCCACAAGCUGGGGGUCGCACUCGUACACCCCGCAACCGGCCAUGCCCGAAUUGUCCCGCACCAGUCGUGGUCGAUCGGGAUUGCGCAGAUUUGACCUGAUGGCGCCAAUGUGCUGCGCUGGGUGCGAAGACCAGGUGCGAGACGCUCUGUAUGCGGUGCGGGGCGUCCAAGACGUGGUUUGCGACCCCGGCGUGCAGAGGGUGACCGUGACGGGGUACUUGGAGCCUGCAGAAGCCCUGAAUAGAUUGAAGCGGGCCGAAGACUGCGUCACAUUCUGCUCUCGCAACAAGCAGCACAGAUACGAGGAGUCCUCGUGCCAGAGAUCACACCGAGGCCAAUUCGAAGACAGGGGUCGCAGGGAGUACGUCCAAUACAACGUGAGAGAGCAGAGGUCGCACACCGACCGCAGCUACGUCGGCUCGAGGAGCGAGCCAUACUCUCGGAGCUUGUGCCCGGCGUACAGAGACACCGCCCGGACGCAUUACAUGAGCGUGCCGAACCCGACGAUUGCAACACGCGUAGAGAGGGAAUGGUGAGGGGCAACUGCCAGUUUUGCAAAUUUUGUACAGUGAGAUCAGAAUGGGGUUCCACAUUGGGGCCGCACAAGGUUGCGAACGGCGACGAGCGAAUUUAGGCUAGAAACUAGACUUUCUCCGGAAAUUACCGAUCCCUUUGGGGAUUUAGAUUGCGGGUGCCGUGCGCACAGAACCUGGACAAGCUUGGUUCCGAGAACUGUGUGACGCACAUUUGAGUGUACAAACCGAG
RNAcentral lists this long non-coding RNA (76410 nucleotides) under Physcomitrium patens. RNAcentral's name for it is "long non-coding RNA (PPAT_LNC001815)". Lineage: Eukaryota; Viridiplantae; Streptophyta; Bryopsida; Funariales; Funariaceae. The record is from RNAcentral.